RNAcentral lists this long non-coding RNA (58005 nucleotides) under Hordeum vulgare. RNAcentral's name for it is "long non-coding RNA (HVUL_LNC011952)". Lineage: Eukaryota; Viridiplantae; Streptophyta; Magnoliopsida; Poales; Poaceae. The record is from RNAcentral.
CGUGAUACACUAAACUGGAAACAAAAAACUCAGCUCGAUGCAUUUACAUGGACAGAAAUCGAAGUAUGUAACGGGUGAAGCUACCAUCAUGCCUCCAGGUCGUUCAGGUUUCUCGGAACUUUGACAAAAAGUUUUGAAACGAAGAGAAACCUUCCAUCGCAUCGUGCGGCAUGUUAAGCGUGAAAGGGGGAAGAACACUCGGACCAGCCUUCAGGUUCUUCGGGCCAGCGGCUGACGGUAGCGCAAGUGCAGGCUGCUGUCUGUUGAGCUUUUCUAUGAUGUACGAGAAAGUUCCAAAAGCCAGGCAGCUCUGAAUCAGAGUUUGCGGUGCACCUGCAACAGACAGCAGAAAAUAUGGUACUGAGGUGAUCGAUACAUAUGAAGCAGUUUAUUUAUGCUACAGGAGCAAAAAUAGAAACAUUAACUCCUGCCCCACUCCCUACAAAAAGCAAAGAGAGAAGUUGUAUUCUCAGCACAAAUGAUGAUCCAAACUAACCCCUUUGAUUAUACGAUUUUGGUUAGUAGAAUCUACAUUUCUACGAUCCUAAUAGUUAAGAUUCUACCACUGGUGAUCACUGGUGGAGCUACAGUGGAUUUCUUGGGCGGCCCAACCUGAAGAAGAAACCAUAAGAGAUGGGCCAGGCCACUUGGCAAGCUAGUUAGGCAGUUUUUCAGCUAGGCAGGGCGGGCCAGAGCACAGGUUCGCCCCAACGUAGCUCUGAUCCGAUUCAAAAUAACGAUUUUGACAACCUUGUCGAGCGACCAAGCGGAACGCUCGUUUCAGCAUCUCUCCCUCUCUCGAUCCGCGACGACGGCAAAGCACUCCCACCUCUCCCUCUCCGGCAACGGCUGUCCUAGCCUCCCCCCACUUCUGUCCUCUGAUGGCAUGCAGCAGCAGCGGGCAGCCAGGUACAAGCUGGGUGACGAUCAAGCAGCUGGACGGCGGCUGUAGCGGACAGCUUGGGCAGAGCGGAGGCAGUAGAAGGAGCAGAAGGAGCAGCAGCUCAUGGGCUGUGGCUGGUAGUUGCAGGUGGCGGCCUCACAUGCUGGGCGGCGGCCAGGCGCUGCACGUCUCGAUUUGUUGAGCGACACAACAUGAGGAAUUGGCAGGCGGUGGCUACACCACAGAAGAGCAGGCUCUGCUCCAUUGUCCACUCUCCCUUGUGCGUUUGCUAGACUAGUGAUAAUCACCUAAAUGGAAAUUGUACAUGCUUUUUCUUGCCUUUUGCAACUACAGAAAAUUUGUGCAUGUUGUGGACCAUUUAUUGAUGAUUCUUUCUAAAUUUGUUAGUAAAAUAUGAUUGUGUAAGACUAUUGAUGUUAUUUAUUUGACAUGAUUGUGAUGCAAAAUAUAAAUUAUUGGUGAACAAAAAAUAAAUAAAACAUUGUUUUGAAAUUAAAUAAAGUGAUUCCGAAAAUACAAUUAAUGUUGCAUAUAUAGCCAGAAAAGCAAAACACUAAUCUGAACAUUUCUCAUUAUUCCAUUCCAUCAACCAAACACUGAGAUGUAACUGUUUCAUUCCACCUCAUUAUUCAUACGAAACACAAAGAUGGAACCAUUACAUUCCAUUCCACUUGGUUCUUCAACCAAACACACCCUCAGUGUCUUUGGCGGCACGGCUGGCUUCUGGGCGAUAGGGCAUGCUCGUGGCGGCCAUGGCGGCGACCUAUGUUNGAUAUGGCGUCCAGCGGAGGCUAGCGGCGCGUGUCGAUGGCUUCUGUUGUGCCUAAGACGGCAAUGGCUGGCGACAAUGGUGGCCCAACAGUGCUCGGUCACGACAGCUGCCAAGGCUUCGCCUUUCUCUAUGGGCACGUAGGGCGUGUGAGAUGGUGGCCCUAGGCAGGUUACGGUGGGGGUGGCGACAGUGUGGGGUCCUAAAGGAGGAUGCGGCCGGCGAUGCCGAGGCUGCCCGAAGACCGAAAGUGUCGGUUCCUGGGCAGCUCCCUAUUGAGAUCUGGAGGAGCCAAAUCUUGAAGGAGCACUAGCUGCCGAUCCGUCCAGAGGUUUUGCAGGCAGGUGGCUGGCGCGCGAGCCGAGGUGCAGGGUUUGGGUAUCCCACCCCCCUCAUGGACGGGCAGUUCGUUGGGCAGCCAUGGCGGCGGUGCUGCCCGGCUAUGGCCGUUGGCCUUGUGGUGGGACCCCGAGGGCAGGUGUCUUCUUCCCUUCGGUCGGCGACGGCCACAUGCUAUGCCGUCGGUGAGAGGUUCGGAUAGGGAUGUCGAGGCGGUGGCCUCAGGUGGCGGGCUACUCGAUAGGCUCUCGACGGGUGUACGGGUGUACGGGUGGCACAGUGGUGGUUGUGCUUCUUGGUCAUGUGGGUGGCGAGAGGUGUUGUGGUGGGUGGCAUUGGUGUCUUCUCUGUUGUGGCAGCGAAGGUGCGCAGAUCUGGUCAUGGAGAUCCCGGCUUCGUAGCAGCGGUUGACUUCGUUACUUCUUUGUGGCUCAGGGUAACAACCGGGUGAAAGCUCUGCGCUUCGUCCCCGGCAGAGACGGCGUCCAUGGGUGCUACUUUCCUCUUGAGGAUGUUGUCGCAGUUUCCCCUACCAGGUUUCUGAGUGAAAACAUUUGUUUGUUCCGUCGGCAACGGCGAUGAAUUGUGCCAUUUCCCUCUUGAGAGUGCCUUAUCUUUGGUUGUGGCGUGGUGUUGUCUUCACGCCCUUUUGUAUUCUUGCUCAUCUUCGUCGUGUCUUCCCAUCCGAUGUGUGUUGUCCAUUUUUUUUUCUAUUUUCUACUUUGUUUGAGGGCUUCCUCACCAUCAUGUAUCGUUCAACCAUGUACUUGUGGUUCGUGCUUUACCAUCCAUGCCAGCAAUUGUGCAUCCAUAAAUGGAACCAAGGGGGUAAGGCAAAUCAAGGAGACAAAAUAAAAAUCUAUGACAUCAAAACUGUAAGAACUAAGAAAAUGUGUCAUGUAACACCAAACUAAUUCGGAAAUCAUUAGCAAUAUGCGGUAAACCACAAGAGAGUACAGAAGCAAGUGUACAACUGAUGGAGAACUCAAAACGAUCAACUUUUUAGCCAUAAAACUUGCAACUGAUGCCAGAUAUCUAACCAUGACCUAAAAGGCUAUGCGUGCUUUCAAAACAAAUCACAAGUCCAGAAACCACCAUGACACUAGCACACGUUUGCAGCCAACACUGGGGUUGCCAACCAGGUAAAUUUUUUAUCCAAAUAACCUACACUAGGCAACUAGAAUAAUACAGGCAAAUCAUUUUCACUCUUACUGUUAAACUACAUUAAACUAUGUCAAAACCAUGGUCUUUGGGCAAGGUAUCCAGGAACAACGUUAAAUUUAGAUAGUUCCAGCUAUUAAUUGCAUUGCUAUAACUUUACCUGGAAAACUCAAAGCAAGGCCAGUGCAACAGCCUGCAACUCCUGCAUUAAUAACUGUAGACAAAAGAUCCACAAGUCAAUGGUCAUCCUUGUCAUUUUAUACACCCUAAGUACUUCAAAAAAGGUAGCAGAAUAGCAGCACAAUCUUAAAGGGGGCAUCAAAGACAGACCGUCAUCUUUUCCACGUAGCUUUCUCAAAGAGCAAGAAACCAAACUUUGAACGCCGGCAAGAACAGCAAAUAUCUAGAACAACAGACAAAAUUCUCAAUGUGAUGGUUAACAGAGAAAAGUCUAUUCCAAACGAAAUGAACAUUGGUAUCCAAUUAAUGAAAUAUGUAUCAUCAUACCUUAGCAGAAGAGGCAGCGUCAGCAAAUGAGCCUUUAAACCCUUUUGUGGUAACCAAACCUUUUCCUAAAAAAUCACCAGAUAUAGUUAACAUAACAAAGAGAUAAUUGUUGUGUUUUGAAUAGAAGGAUGACACACAGCAGGGCAGCCUGACAUAACGUAUACCAAACAAAAAUAUUGUGCACAAUGAACACACAAGGCUGAACCAAUUCAAAUUUACAGGUAGCAUUAAAUGAUUGAAUUGAUUUGACAUGACCACCAGAUCCACUACCAUAUUCCAUAAAAGAUCUACAUUGUUAUAUUCAAGGUGGUAAUGGACGUAACCAGAUAGGCUAUUUUUGUUAUCCGCAAAUUAAGGUGGCAUUUAGUUGGUGAUUGGUUCACUUUGCCUCAGCCUGACUGUCAGUGGUGGAGUGCACAAAGCAGCAAUUGGUUUCUUUAUACAAAAUUAGAGCAGUGAUUAAGUAUCACCCAUGCAUGUUGAGCAACUUAACAUGAUAACAGACACCGCGAAGCUCCAUACGUGCCUCCUUUACUAAGAAAGACCCUGCAUGAGAAUGCAAUGUCGGGAGCAUCUAAUCUACCAAUUAAUCACCAGGUCUAGGUAAAACAGAUUUGACAAUUGACAUGCUUUGGAUUUUGGGCAUCCAAAAACUUCUUUGGAUGACAAUGAGACGCAAAAUCCAAAAAUUGGAUUCUAAAAUUAGGCGUAUGCUUGAACCUAUUUCUGUGCCAAACCACUGGUAACAGAUUAGCAACCAAGAACGGAGCUAGGUGUGUAACUCCAUUGUCUCUUUGUGUGUUGCUUUUACUUUAGUUCUUAGUCCACAACAGGUUGUAUGAACACACCACAAACACACAGUAAACAUACGAGUUGAGUAUGUUUGUAUGAGCCAAAAGAAAGUUCUCUACCAAAUUUUCUGAGAAAACCCGCACAUGUUCUGUAACAUUUUCUUUCAUUUGGCAGCAUUAGCAAGUAAUUUCCCCCCCCCCAUUUUAUCCUUUUGCAAGGAAUAAACACACACUGCAGCUUCCAGAUAGGUACGUAUGCAUGCAGUCAGGCCUUGAAUCAAGUAAACGGAGCAAAAACAAUUUGGUUUUACCAACAUUUCUGAGAAACUUCGCACAUGUUUCAAUCUCAGUAAGCACGUGCUUUUUCACGAGGAAUAAUUAUGCGGUUAACUGUAAAAUCCAUCAAUAAUCUGCUCCAUAAUCCUUGGUGCCAGUGUCACACAAAUUAAACAAAAUUGCUACAAGUUCAACUAUCCUGAAUAUGUAACUGUAAUCAGCUGCAUGAAACCCAAACAACACACCAUGUGCUGCAAUUGAGCCUUAUCUCCUAAAUGUCCUCAACACUGGCACAGUAUACUGCGAAUCUAACAAAGAAAAACCAUAAUCAAUGCCUUAUGAAUGACACUACCCAUAGACCGUGUGAACAAUCAGUACUAAGAGCUCAAUUGCACACCCCAGAUUAGACGAACACCUUAAGACACAACCUUAUGGAAUAUAAUCAAAUCUGAUCUCCUGCCAGUCAAAAACCUUAUCAAAUUACGAGAGGCCUAAAAUAGAAAGGGAGCCAGCCAGGACCAAAGAUCGCAGAGCCCUAACCCUAACGGACGUGUCGAGCCGAACGAGGAGGUGGAGGGGACGGCGGUGUUACCAUAUCCAACGACGGCUCCGACGAGGGAACCGGCGGCCGACUCCCAGGCGAAGCGGAGGAGGCAGACCCCAGGNNNNNNNNNNNNNNNNNNNNNNNNNNNNNNNNNNNNNNNNNNNNNNNNNNNNNNNNNNNNNNNNNNNNNNNNNNNNNNNNNNNNNNNNNNNNNNNNNNNNNNNNNNNNNNNNNNNNNNNNNNNNNNNNNNNNNNNNNNNNNNNNNNNNNNNNNNNNNNNNNNNNNNNNNNNNNNNNNNNNNNNNNNNNNNNNNNNNNNNNNNNNNNNNNNNNNNNNNNNNNNNNNNNNNNNNNNNNNNNNNNNNNNNNNNNNNGACUUCAAUGAUUGCCGUAAAAGAUAGCGCGUGAGAGCCCCAUACCUGACCAAACGAGCCGGCCCGACACGGCCCAUGGUAAUCGGGCCUGGCACGGCACGGCCCGUCCAGGCACGUUUAUUAAUCGGGUCGUGUCGUGUCAGCCCGUGGGCUGCGCCUCUAGGCCUGUAAGAUUUGAGAGAGAGAGGUUUUGGAUCAGCACACUUUAUUCAAUCUAAACCAUGAUGUCUAACAGAAAACCCUAAGGAGGUAGUCAGCGGCAGCAAUCGUGCGAGGUGGGUUAGUGCUGGGUUAUCGAUUCCGAGGCAUGCGGACGUGCAUGCGUGCUGGGUCAUCGCCAUGCAUGGGCUUGCUUGAGGGCCAAGUCGGCCGACGCCAUGGGCUGUAGUGAGGUCUAUUCCAAAACCACCCCUCCCCCCCCCCGCCCGCAGUCGAUGCCUCGCUGUCGGAGAUGCAUAGACCGGAGCGGAAUUCCCGAAACAUCGACGGUGGAAGCCCCUUGGUCAUGACGUCGGCGAACUGUUGAGCCGUAGGUACGUGAAGAACACGGACAUGCCCCAGCGCCACCUUCUCGCGGACGAAAUGGAUGUCGAGCUCGAUGUGCUUGGUGCGACGGUGAUGGAUGGCAGAGAGGUACACCGCCGAGACAUUGUCGCAGUAGACUACCGUGGCUUUGGCGACGCCGCAUUGUAGCUCAGUUAAGAGCUGACGCAGCCACGAGCACUCGGCAACCGCAUUGGCAACGGCAGGGUACUCGGCCUCCGCGCUAGAGCGGGACACGGUGGGUUGCCGUUUGGACGACCACGACACCAGCGAAGGCCCCAUGUAGAUGCAGUAGCCAGAGGUGGAGCGGCGAGUGUCGGGGCAGCCGACCCAGUCGGCGUCGGAGUAGGCGACGAUGUCGAGCGACGAGGAGGCGCAGAGAGAGAGCCCAAGCGAGGGCGACCCGUGGAUGUACCUCAAGAUGCGCUUCACCAAUGUCCGGUGAACGUCACACGGAGCAUGCAUUGUGGAGGCAGACUUGUUGCACCGCGUACUCGAGAUCGGGCCUCGUCAGUGUCAGGUACUGGAGGGCGCCGACGAUGCUGCGGUAGAAGGAGGCAUCGGAGAAGGGGACGCCAGCCUGCCCUAAGACCUUGCCCGAGGUGUCGAUGGGGGUAGAUGCUGGCUUACAGUUGAUCAUGCCGGCGCAGUCCAGCAGUUCGAGGGCGUACUUCUUCUGGCAGAGGAAGAAGCCAUCGGAGCGGCGCGUGACCUCCACGCCCAGGAAGUAAUGGAGCGCGCCAAGGUCCUUCAGGGCGAACUCGCAUUGAAGGAGACCGACGACGCGACGGAGGAGAGCGUCGGUGGAGGCCGUCAAGACAAUGUCAUCGACGUACAGCAGAAGGUACACCAUGUCAGUGCCACGGCGGUAGACGAACAACGAUGCGUCGGACCUGGUGAUGACGAAGCCGACACGGACCAGGAACGCGGUAAUGCGUUGGUACCAGGCGCAGGGAGCGUGCUUGAUGCCGUAGAGGGACCGAGAGAGCAGGCAGACGUCGUCGGGGCGCGCAGGGUCGACGAAGCCAGCCGGCUGCUGGCAGAAAACUUGCUCCGUCAGGUGCCCGUGCAAGAAGGCGUUGGAGACGUCGAGUUGAUGGACGACCCAGCGGCGCGAGUAGGCGAGCUGAAGGACACAAUGACUCGUGCCCGGCUUCACGACGGGGGCGAAAGUCUCGGUGAAGUCGUGUCACGCCCAAGAUGCGACCCUAUCCUCAAUUUGGCACGAGGGCCUCGUCAGGGAUAGAAGCGCAUCUCGUCGUGUCGCAAGAAUGGAUAUCGUUACAAGUACAUGUACUAAAAGGAAGAGAUAUAUAAUAGAAUUGGCUUACACUUGCCACAAGCUACAUCAGAGUCACAUCAGUACAUUACAUAUUCAUCAUGAAGAAGAGCAGGGUCCGACUACGGACGAAAACAAACGAGAAAAGAAGAACGGCGUCCAUCCUUGCUACCCCAGGUUGCCGGCCUGGAACCCAUCCUAGAUCGAUGAAGAAGNNNNNNNNNNNNNNNNNNNNNNNNNNNNNNNNNNNNNNNNNNNNNNNNNNNNCCUUUACCUGUAUCUGCAACUGGUGUUGUAGUAAUCUGUGAGCCACAUGGGACUCAGCAAUCUCAUUUCCAAAGGUAUCAAGACUAGCAAAGCUUAAUGGGUGAGGUAAGGUUAAGUGGUGAGGUUGCAGCAGCGGAUAAGCAUAUAUUUGGUGCCUAAACUUACGAGUACAAGAAAUAAGAGGGGGAAGAUCUACGCAUAACGGACGUGAACUACUGGUGAUCAAAGGAAUGAUCCUGAGCACCUACCUACGUCAGACAUAACCCCACCGUGUCCUCGAUCGGAGUAAGAACUCACGAAAGAGACAGUCACGGUUACGCACCUAGUUGGCAUGUUUUAAUUAAGUUAUCUUCAAGUUAUCUAGAACCAGUGUUAAACAAAGCUUCCACGUUGCCACAUAACCGCGGGCACGGCUUUCGGAAAGAUUCAACCCUGCAGGGGUGCUCCAACUAGUCCAUCACAAAUUACCACAAGCCGCAUAGAAAUCCUCAAUCACGAAGCUCGCGAUCUCGUCGGAUUUCCUAGUGGAAAACCUCAACUCUGAGAUUACCCAAAGCAUCACCGGAAUCCCGAUGCACAAGAUAUCUCGUCAAAGGUAAAACUAAUCCAGCAAGGCCACCCGCGCGUGUCGACGAUCCCGAUAGGAGCCGCGUAUCUCGUUCUCAGGACACGAUGGAUGAGCGACGCGUACGGUGGCCUGAUAGAAAUCACCCAAGUUUCCCUGGGUUGGCCCCGCACAGUGCUCUGUUUUGGACCAGCACCAUCAGCACUGGCCCUCCCUGUAUUAUGUAGAAUUACUCCUCGGGUUCAUGACGCCCUAUGCUUUCAGUAUUAACAAAAUUAUUAUGUUGGGAAAAUGUAGUACCAAUGUUGGGCCUUGCCAGACCAGCUUUAAUCUAAAACGAAUUAUCAAGGGGGUCCCCAUAACAACCCCCAUCGUGUUAGGAGCGCUCAAUUAUGGAACAUAACACCGGUAGCCGAAACUAAGGGGGCAAAGGUGGAACAAAACACCAGGCUAGAAAGGCCGAGCCUUCCACCUUUUACCAAGUAUAUAGGUCCAUUAAAUUAAAUAGCAUUAAUAUGGUGAUAUGACAAGGAACUCAUGUUUUCACAUGGAAGCAACUACACCUGCAACUAGCAACGCUAACAACAUGGUUAAGCAAGCAGUAGCAUAGCCAAUCAGUGGUUUGCUAGGUUGAACAAGUUGAAGGUUUCAUGGCAUUGUUGAGAGGCUGAUAUUUAACAUGUGGUAGGCAACGAGACAUAAUCGAUAGAAGCGGUAAAACUAGCAUGGCAAUGAUAGUAAUGGUAUCCGGGGAAAUGGUCAUCUUGCCUGAGAUCCCACUUGGAAGAAGAACAACUCCGUGAAGUCGGCGAACCAAUGUGGUCAGACGGGUCCUCACAUUCCGACACGCUUGCGGAACUCUAUUGAGACGGAGCAAACCGGAAACAAACAUCAACACAGAUAUUCACCACACGAUGCACAACAUGAUGCAUACCCAAUAUGAUGCAUGGACGCCCAACCCCUAAUGAUGCACUUAAACCAUCCUACAUCGGUAAACAGGUGCCACAUCAUCAUGAAGUGACACCUCAGCAGGACUGCCCAAAACUGGAAACUACUAACUCCAUUGGAUUCCUUGGGUUCUCCUCCCCCAAAUCUAUAUACUACACUCCUAUAUAUGCAUGCAGAAAAACACCAGAAACAGCAAAGGAAAAACUACACAAGAUCAAACUCUGCUAACAACAAGAACAGGGGUUGUUCUUGAUAUGCCAGAUUUGGCAUAUACCUCUUCUGAAAUAUCCAGAUAUGGAAAUACAUCACAACACCAAUCAACAAAAUUAUAUAAUCGUCAGGGGGUCCCACUGGUCAUACUCACCAGGGCCCCUAGUAAGGCAUGUGGGCUCUGGACCCACUGACAGAGGCACACUACAACAAGCAACUAAAAACACAAGGGAAAAAACUAACAUGGGAGUAGGGGGACUCGAACCCACUACCUUCUUGCAAGACAACAGGGCAAUCACCACUGAGCUAGGCUCGGAUCACUGCCCUAACAAGGGGAGUAACCCACCUAUGCUACACGUGCAGACAACGCAACAAAUUGAAACAAAAACCCAAAUAAGAGGACGCGCGAGGGGCUCGAACCCUCGACCUACUGGCGCUGCAGUGGCUCGGUUGCCACUACGAUGGUGAAGUAUAACUGCUAGAACAAGGGAAGAAAUGCACAUAUGCAGGCUCUGCUAGCUAGCACAGGAGAACAAAAAUCGUAGAGAAUAAAAGGGGGGCGCUGGGUCUCGAACCCGAGACGUUGAGAACGAAAACAUGCUCGAUGCCACUGCGCUACCGUGGGGAUUCUGCCUAAGAAGGGAGCAAAGCAGAUCUAAAAGAAAACAUGGGGCGUCGCUGGAGCAGGGAGACGCCGGCGACGACGACGCGCGCCAGAGCCACUCGCCUGCAGGCGCAUACGACGCACAACCACGCGAUGCGCUACGUCCCUCGCGUCACUACAUAGCAGGCGCGGAACCUACGCCUAUAAGACGCAUGCACGCAGAGCUGCGGAAACUAGCGCAUCCUGCCGGUGCAACUCCGACAGGGCGGCGCCCACGCGCAACAUCGGCGACCUACUGCAGAGAGGGAAACGAAGGGGGGAUAGAGCUGCGCUCACCCAGGGUGCAGAGAGAGGGCUCGCGGGAGGGGAGACACGCCGCGCGACGACGUCCUGCUGCAGAGAACUCGUCGGAGAGGAAGAAGGACCAUCCGCCGAGGAGGUCGAGGCCGUCGUCCUUGGCGCUAGCUGCCCGUGGGAAUGGAACUCCAUGGGCGCCCGCGAGCUCCUGGUCCAGGAGGGGGAAGAAGGGGGCGUCGGGCUACCACGCAUCAGGCACUUGCCCGAGCCGGCCAUGGUGCGGUGGAGCUCGGGAACUCGCCCCGACGGCGCUAGGAGGGANGACGAGGGUUAGGGUUUCAGAGAGUCCGAGGCUGCUAAGUAUCUCGCACCACCCGCUCGGGGCCGUCUGAUCGAGGGAAGAAACGAUCUAUGGUGGUCAGGGGGUUCGUACGUGCUGACAUGAUCGAGGAGGAAGAAGCUGCCGCCAGCCAGGCCUGGGCUGAUUGCACUCACCUGGGCCUGGUGCUCCCUCUCUCACUGAGAAGGCCUACCUAAUAAAACAUUACAGCGAAAAUCAAACCACACGGGCUAAAGGAAAAUAGUUUUGGUGGAAACAAAAAUAUAACUGGGCUUUUAAAAUGUUGCCACUGUUUAUAAAAAUAAGUGGAACAUUUUUAGAAGUCCAAAAUUAUAUUCAUCUAAUUUAAAUGGGCUUUGAUUUUUUAAAUAAGAUAAGAAGGAAAGUAAAGUAGAAACCAGAGGGGUUGCCUCCACAAAAUGAAAAGGAUUUUUUUUAGGGAAAGAUGAACAUUUUUUUAAAUGGAGAAACAAAGCCUUUUAAACCUGCCACAAAUUAACAUAGAGAGAGAAGGGUUUUCUCCUUAUGGAGCAACAUGUGGGUUUUGACAUGCACUUGUUGCCCCCACACCUAAACAAUCACUAAGGACAUCAACACAACACUUGCACAUCACAACAAGGACACCCACAUCAACACAACCACAACAAAAGGGAAAGAAUGCAAUGCAAGAAGGCAUGAUGCACAUGAAAUGAUGACACAAAGUUAGGCUCACCCCACAUCACACCAACAUGCCAAGGUUGCCAUACAAGGAGGAUACAAAAGGGGAGGGGAGAUUGCACUUGGGCUGUCACAAGUCGAGACCAGCCCGUUGCCGGAAGCCGCGAACGACCCAGCUGCCAGGUGCGAUUCCUCAGUAGCGCGUCGUACUCGUCUUGCAUGACGGCGCGCCAGUGAGGGUCCCGGAGCGCCGAGUGGACGGACGCAGGGAGCGGCGAAGGAGCCGUCGUGGUGGCAGUGCAGACGUACUCGUUGGAGGAGUACCUCUGGCUGGGUCGAUGGACACCCGCGCGCGCACGGGUAAGCACUCCGAAGUGUACGGGGGCAGCAGGUGGGGCAGUUGAGGGAGAGGCCGGCCCCGUACUGGGCACGGGGGCAGCAGGUGGUGGAGGCGUCGUGCCGACAGGAGCGGGGCCCGGUGGUGCAGGAGACGGGGCCGAGACGCCCGGGGCAACUAGCGGAGAAGNNNNNNNNNNNNNNNNNNNNNNNNNNNNNNNNNNNNNNNNNNNNNNNNNNNNNNNNNNNNNNNNNNNNNNNNNNNNNNNNNNNNNNNNNNNNNNNNNNNNNNNNNNNNNNNNNNNNNNNNNNNNNNNNNNNNNNNNNNNNNNNNNNNNNNNNNNNNNNNNNNNNNNNNNNNNNNNNNNNNNNNNNNNNNNNNNNNNNNNNNNNNNNNNNNNNNNNNNNNNNNNNNNNNNNNNNNNNNNNNNNNNNNNNNNNNNNNNNNNNNNNNNNNNNNNNNNNNNNNNNNNNNNNNNNNNNNNNNNNNNNNNNNNNNNNNNNNNNNNNNNNNNNNNNNNNNNNNNNNNNNNNNNNNNNNNNNNNNNNNNNNNNNNNNNNNNNNNNNNNNNNNNNNNNNNNNNNNNNNNNNNNNNNNNNNNNNNNNNNNNNNNNNNNNNNNNNNNNNNNNNNNNNNNNNNNNNNNNNNNNNNNNNNNNNNNNNNNNNNNNNNNNNNNNNNNNNNNNNNNNNNNNNNNNNNNNNNNNNNNNNNNNNNNNNNNNNNNNNNNNNNNNNNNNNNNNNNNNNNNNNNNNNNNNNNNNNNNNNNNNNNNNNNNNNNNNNNNNNNNNNNNNNNNNNNNNNNNNNNNNNNNNNNNNNNNNNNNNNNNNNNNNNNNNNNNNNNNNNNNNNNNNNNNNNNNNNNNNNNNNNNNNNNNNNNNNNNNNNNNNNNNNNNNNNNNNNNNNNNNNNNNNNNNNNNNNNNNNNNNNNNNNNNNNNNNNNNNNNNNNNNNNNNNNNNNNNNNNNNNNNNNNNNNNNNNNNNNNNNNNNNNNNNNNNNNNNNNNNNNNNGGAGGCGAGCUGGAGACCUGUUGAAAGGGAAAAACAUACUCGUCAAAGUACACGUACCUGGAGAUGAGAACUCGCCCAGAUGCCGGAUCGAAGCAACGGAAACCCUUGGUAUUGGGGGGGGGGUAGCCGAAGAAUACGCAGAGAAUAGACUGGGGGCGAGUUUAUGUGGAGAAGUAGCGAGAAGAUUAGGAUAACAGAGGCAACCAAACACCCGGAGGUUGUCGUAGGAGGGUUGGUGACCAAAGAAGAGGUGAUCGGGAGUGAAUUGGCCACGAGCACGGUAGGGGCGCAGGUUGAGGGUGUGGGUGGCGCUGGAGAGAGCCUCGGUCCAGAACCGGGGCGGAACGGCGGCGUGAAGGAGCAGCGCACGAACAACGUCGUUGAGGGUACGAAGAGCACGUUCGGCACGCCCAUUUUGCUGGGAUGUAUACGGGCAUGUAAGGCGGAGGAUGGAACCGUGCGCGGAAAGCAAAGAGUGGAUGCCAUGGUUGUCGAAUUCGCGCCCGUUGUCGGUUUGGAGGCCGAGUAUAGGGCGGGAAAACUACGUUUGAACAAAGGCGAAGAACGAAGUGAGCGUGGGGAGGACAUCCGACUUGCGAUGCAACGGAAAAGUCCAUACAAAGUGCGAGAAAUCAUCGAGAAGCACCAAGUAGUAUUGAAACCCUGAAUUGCUUAUUAUUGGAGAGCACCAUACAUCACAAUGCAACAAUUCAAAUGGAAAACGAGAGAUGUGAGAAGAAGAAAAAGGAAGGCGAGUGCUCUUGCCCAAACGGCAAGCAGAGCACGAGUGAGGCGCACUUUUAAUACAUUGAAAAAGAUUGCUACGGAGGAGCUGGUGCAUGGUCGAGGCACCGGGGUGCCCCAAGCGGGCAUGCCAGAUAUCGACGCCCGCGCGAGGAGGGCGACGCCGGAGCGGAUAGAGAUCACCAGGGCUAUCACAUCGGAGCAGCACCGUCUUGGUCCGCAGGUCCUUGAUGGAGAAACCAAAGGGGUCAAAUUCAACCAAAACAAAAUUCUGACGAGUGAGUGCACGAACAGAAAUGAGAUUAGUGAUAAGCUGAGGAGAAACGAGCACAUCAUAGAGUUUAAUGGGAGAAUGAGGGGAGAGAGAGAUCACCGUGGUGUGUGAUGGGGAGAGAGGAACCAUCACCCACCACGAUGCGAGUAGAUGUAGGGAAGGGUUUAGACUGGGAGAGGAUACCAGGGUGGGAGGCCAUGUGGGAGGAUGCGCCAGUGUCCAUGAACCAGUCGUCGUUGCCGGAGUAGGCGGCCGACGAGGGAGCCUGAUGCAGGGCCGCCAGGAGCGCUGGAUCGUAGGGGGAGGACGCCCCGCCGGAGUUGCUGAGCCAGUGCCCAGGGGGCGUGGNNNNNNNNNNNNNNNNNNNNNNNNNNNNNNNNNNNNNNNNNNNNNNNNNNNNNNNNNNNNNNNNNNNNNNNNNNNNNNNNNNNNNNNNNNNNNNNNNNNNNNNNNNNNNNNNNNNNNNNNNNNNNNNNNNNNNNNNNNNNNNNNNNNNNNNNNNNNNNNNNNNNNNNNNNNNNNNNNNNNNNNNNNNNNNNNNNNNNNNNNNNNNNNNNNNNNNNNNNNNNNNNNNNNNNNNNNNNNNNNNNNNNNNNNNNNNNNNNNNNNNNNNNNNNNNNNNNNNNNNNNNNNNNNNNNNNNNNNNNNNNNNNNNNNNNNNNNNNNNNNNNNNNNNNNNNNNNNNNNNNNNNNNNNNNNNNNNNNNNNNNNNNNNNNNNNNNNNNNNNNNNNNNNNNNNNNNCGCUGCAGAGAGGACUGCUGCAUCCUCCGCUCCUUGAGGCGCAAGUAGUUGAUGGCGCGGGCGAACGUCGGCUCGGUGAGAAGGUUGAGAUUAGAAGCAGCGUUGGCGUAGUCUGAACCGAGCCCACGGAUCAGGUUCGUGAGCAUGGUGGCGUCAGAGACCGGGGCGCCCACGUCGCGGAGCUCGUCGGCGAGCACCUUGAGGCGGAGGCAGUAGUCGAAGAGCCCCAUGCCUUCCUGGGAGAGGCUGUAGAACUCGGUCGUGAGAAGCACAUGACGCUGGAGCUGAUUGUCGAGGAAGAGCUGGCAGAUGGAGGUCCAAAUGCCGAGGGCCGAGUCAUCGUCGCGGAUGACGUGCGAGAGGAUCUCGUUGCUGACGGUGCGAUAGAGCCACUUGAUGGUAGUGGCGUCAACCCUCAUCCAGUUGGCAUCGUCGCGCAUGGCGCGGGCGUCAACCGAUCUGUCGACAUGAUCCCGAAUUUGGAAUUCGCGGAAGGUCAACGAGACGUAGGUGCGCGAGGUGGAGAAGGAGGGUGUGUGGAUAUCCAGGACGACGGGGACGUGAUCCUGGAUGUGGAUGAGCCGAAGGCUGGCGGCAGAGGCAGGCUCGAGAACGGCAAAGGGGUUGACCUCGCCGGCGAGGGAGGAGCGAGGGGAGGCCAUCGCGGCGGUGGGUAGCGGAAGCGAGGAGAGGAUCAGAAGAAAACUAAUACCAUGUAAGAUUUGAGAGAGAGAGGUUUUGGAUCUGCACACUUUAUUCAAUCUAAACCAUGAGUAUUUAUACAGGUAGAUGAUCAGUGUCUAACAGAAAACCCUAAGGAGCUAGUUAGCGGCAGUGACCGUGCGAGGUGGGUUAGCAUUGGGUUAUCGAUUCCCAAGCAUGCGGACGUGCAUGCGUGUUGGGUCAUCGCCAUGCAUGGGCUUGCUUGAGGACCAAGUCGGGCCGACGACAUGGGCUAUAGUGAGGCCUGUUUCAACACCAGGCACGACCCGAUUAUUAAACGGGUCGGCAUGUUGGCCCGAUUAGCACGCUNCACGUGCCCAGCCUCCAGGCCCAGGCACGGUCCGAGGCGUGCUUCGUGUCGAGCCCGAGCACGAUUAGCCCGUGCCGGGCCGGGCCGGGCCCGUGUCGUGCCAGACACGCGGGCUGUCGGGCAAGCCCAUUUACCCGGCCCCCAUUUGGCGAGAUCUGGUUCCAGCAGACACUGUAACAAAAUCGAUGCACGUGUGGUAGUGGUGGAAAGGCACGUGGAGAAGGCGUUGAAUUUAUAAUGUGCGCCGAGCACCAUGCGCCAAAUCUAACACGUGUCGGGCCGCCUUUUCCCGUGCUUAAACUUUUCCCGCGCGUCAGAAUCUUUCGCGUGCGCUGGAGUGCACGCUAAAAUUCAAUUUUCCCUUGUGCCCACGUUUUUUAAGUCACUGUUGGAGAUGCUCUCGGGGGAACCAACUUGAGGGAGCGUGGUAUUCUUAGUCGGCCAGGUUUAAAUCUUGUGCUCGUAUUAUUUUUGAAAUUAUUUUAGGAUUUUCAGCAAUGCGCAUUUAGUGAAAAGAAUCAUUUUUGUCGACGACGAGGCGCCUAGAGUGAUUUAGUAAAUCUUAAGAUGAUAUGGUGGCUCAGUCUCUCGAAUGUGAUCAUAAGGAUAGGGUGUACGUAUAUGAGUUCAUAGGGAUGAUUAUAUACACGUGUAUAUGAGCGCUUACGUAUGUACUGUGUUAGAAAAAUACCGUCGCAUAGAAGAACACGGUUUUUUAUUUUAGAGGAAUGACCAUGUGUCUAUUAAACAAACAAUUACAAUGAAUACAUACAUAUAUACACNAUAUAUAUAUGGGGGGGGGGUCUCUUCAUGACUCAAGUGAAUGACAAGGACAAGGUUGAGAUGCCAUCUUUAUAUCAAAAUUUGUAUCAAUCAUUUCAUGACUCAAAUGGUCUGCUACAAUAAUUUCAAAGGUAUGGCACCCUCAAUCCAUCUCCCAAUAUCGUUCAAUUGCUCUUGGCACGGUGAUGUAUAAGAUUGUUGUUAAGGUAGUAGCUAAUCGUAUGAGGGGCAAUAUGAAGGUGAUCAUUAGUGAAGAGCAAAGUAUUUUUGUGCCUCGGUAUUUAAUUAAUGACAACAUUGUAUUUGCAUAUGAAAGUGUGGACACUAGGAGGCGACAAAAGAAGGGCAAGAGUUUCUCAUGCAUUGUUAAAUUGGUGAUGAAAGCCUACAACUGAAUUGAGUGGCAUUACUUGGAAGCCAUCUUGAUGAAGUUGGGUUUUAGCAUCGAUUUCGUAAGACUUAUUACGAAAUAUGUUUCGUCGGUCAGAUUCUCGGUAAGGGUGAAUCAAGAUCUUCUACCAUACUUCACUCCUACAGGGGGAUUGCGACAUGGCGUCCCAAUGUCAUUAUACCUAUUUCUGCUAUGUGUGGAAAGUUUUUCCUCGCUACUCAAAUACUAUGAUGGUGGCUAUGUGGACAAGGGGACCAGAGUCAAUUAUAGAUCACCGCGGGUGAGCCAUUUAUUAUUUGUCGAUGAUAGCCUCAUCUUCCUCAAUGCAACAAGGUUGAACUCCAUUAUUGAGAUAUGUGGAAGUGCUUCAGGGCAGAGUGUGAAUAUAGAUAAGCGGGCCAUCUAUUUUAGUCCUAACACACCGGAUCCGGUUCGACAAUUGCUGAAAACAUCCUUGGAUAUUCAUGUCGAGGCUUUCAUUGUAAAGUAUCUUGGUCUUCCAACAGCUGUGGGGCGCAUUACAAUUGAACUUUUGUACACAUGGAGAUAGGGCUCGAGGGAAGAUGCAAGAGUAGUUGGAAAAGUUAAUAGCUUGCGCCGGGAGAGAUGCAGUAUUGAAGUUCGUUGUUCAAGCGCUCCCGUUGUACAGUAUGACCACUUUUAUCUUGAACAAGAAAGUCUAUAAGAGCAUCACUUCACCAAUGGCAGAGAAAUUAUGGAGUAUCUCUUUGGACAAGAAAUCUAUGCAUUGGGUUUCAUGGUAUAAACUUGCGACUCCAAAGCGCAAAGAGGGCAUGGGAUAUUGAGACAUGCACCCCUUUAAUUUGGCUUUGCUAGGGAAGCAUGGUUGGCAUUUAUGACCUAGCCUAUAUUCCUAUAUGCAAGGGUUUUGAAGGGUCGCUACUUCCCGCACAUUGAUUUCAUGAAUGUUGUUCUUCCUCGCUCGGUAUCAGCUACAUGGCAUGCUACAAUUGCAGGAAUGGAAUCACUAAAGUUUGUUAUGAUAAAGCGAGCUGGUGAUGGAUCACCAAUUUCGUUUUGGGAUGAUAAAUGGACCGCGGGAAGUAUUUCCAUGACACCGAUGCUGAAACCGGAGAACGGGUGAUUGAAAAGGUCCCUGAGUUGAUUGAUUAGGACAAAUGUACAAGGAAUCAACAUGUGGUCAUAGAUACUUUUAUCCCGUCUCAUGCAGAUGCCAUUCUAAACGUUCCAAUUCGGCAAGGUGGAUGCAAUGAUUUUCUUGCUUGCGCAUUUGAAAAGCCAGGAAACUACAGUGUUAAAUCAGCGUACCAUAUCUCAUGACUUAAAAAGAGUGUUUGACUCUGGAAAAAGGAACGGCUACCGAGACCUCAAAGAGUGGUCAACAAUUAUGGAGUGCACUUCAGAAGUUGAAUGUUUUGCCAAGGGUUAGGGUGUUCUAGUGGAGGGUCUUGCAUGGAAUCAUGCUGGAUAUGCUUUAGGAGGGGCGCACAUUCCUGAUCUUCCCCAUGCCUGUCAGGCGAGCGAGGGCUGGGUGCGGUGCAUGUGCUCGGGUUAGCCCCAAUAGAGCAGAAAAAUCCAAGCGAUUGAGCUCUAGCUCACGGGCCUGCUCUCGUGUACAUCACCUCACCAGGUCCUUGAUGCUCUUGUCUCCUCGCGUAACAUCCAAAGGCAACCCCACGAGCGCCCUCGCUGCACUACUCUUGGCAAUUUCCCUGGUGCAAGAUAUCGAAGGCCUCAUGAGCCCCUGAUACGUCCAUUUUGCAUCAUGCUUUCAUGUUGAUAUUUAUCGCUUCUUGGGGUGUUAUUUCAUUUCACGGUACAAUACUUAUGCCUUUUCUCUCUUAUUUUGCAAGGUUUACAUGAAGAGGGAGAAUGCCGGCAACUGGAAUUCUGGCCUGAAAAAGGAGCAAGUUUGAGAUGCCUAUUCUGCGCAACUCCAAAAGCCAUGAAAAUCAACGUGGAUUUUUUUGGGAAUUUAUAAAAAAUACUGGGAUGAAGAAGUGCCAGAGGAGCGCAACCAGGGGGCCACAAGCCUCGUAGGCGCGACCACCCCCCUGGCCGCGCCUAGGGGGCUUGUGGGCUCCCUACUGGCCCACUGGCUCCCCUCUUCUGCUAUAUGAAGGGUUUCGUUCCGAAAAAAAAUCAAGAGGAGGCUUUUCGGAGGAUUCGCCGCCGCCACGAGGCGGAAGUUGAGCAGAACCAAUCUAGAGCUCCGGCAGGACGAUCCUGCCGGGGAAACUUCCCUCCUGGAGGGGGAAAUCGUCGCCAUCGUCAUCACGAACACUCCUCUCAUCGGAAGGGACUCAUCACCAUCAACAUCUUCAUUAGCACCAUCUCAUCUCCGAACCUUAGUUCAUCACUUGUAACCAAUCUCCGUCUCCCGACUCCGAUUGGUACUUGUAAGGUUGUUAGUAGUGUUAAUUACUAUUUGUAGUUGAUGCUAGUUGGAUUAUUUGGUGAAAGAGUUUAUGUUCAGAUCCUUGAUGCUACUCAUUACCUCUCUGGUCAUGAAUAUGAUUAUGCUUUGUGAGUAGUUACUUUUGUUCCUGAGGACAUGGGAUAAGUCAUGCUAAUAGUAGUCAUGUGAAUUUGGUAUUCGUUCGAUAUUUUGAUGUGUUGUAUGUUGUUUUUACUCUAGUGGUGUUAUGUGAACGUCGACUACAUAAAAUUUCACCACUAUUUGGGCUAUAGGAAGGAAUUGGGAAGUAGUAAGUAGAUGAUGGGUUGCUAGAUUGACAGAAGCUUAAACCCUAGUUUAUGCGUUGCUUCGUAAGGGGCGGAUUUGGAUCCACUAGUUUAAUGCUAUGGUUAGACUUUGUCUUAAUUCUUCUUUCGUAGUUGCGGAUGCUUGCGAGAGGGGUUAAUCAUAAGUGGGAUGCUUGUCCAAGUAAGGGCAGUACCCAAAUGCCGGUCCACCCACAUAUCAAACUAUCAAAGUAACGAAAGCGAAUCAUAUGAACAUGAUGAAAACUAGCAUGACAGAAAUUCCCGUGUGUCCUCGGGAGCGUUUUUCCUCCUAUAAGACUUUGUCCAGGCUUGUCCCUUGCUACAAAAGGGAUUGUGCCACUUUGCUGCACCAUUGCUACUUUUGUUACUUGUUGCUUGUUGCGAAUCAUCUCACCACACAACCACUUGUUACCGAUAAUUUCAGUGCCUGCAGAUAUUACCUUGCUGAAAACCACUUGUCAGAUCCUUCUGCUCCUCAUUGGGUUCGACACUCUUACUUGUAGAAAGGACUACGAUAGAUCCCCUAUACUUGUGGGUCAUCAGCCCCCCAUCACGAGGCCUCGCAAGCUGCUCCCUAUGGAGGACUCACUCCAAGCUGCACACCUCAAAGGAGCUAAGUCUAAAACACCCCUCGGGUUUUAUACCUCUCAUUCACCUCUCAAGGCAUCUUGAUUUCCUUGGCACGAGACGCCUACACGUCAAGGGGGACCCUGAGCAUCGUGCCUUAGGGACUCCUACCAUCCCUAAGAUCCCUACACCAUGUGGCCUUGUUGAGCGCAUGCUCUACACAUACCAGCAACGGUUGUAGCCCGUCCCGGGGGCUGGGUCCAAGCGACACAAGGCACAAAGGCAACCUAAAAGGGAAAUAAAGGCCUCGAGAGGAAAACAAAAACACAUAAAACAUCAACUACUUAAGACAAAAGUGCCAUAAGAAUGUUUUCACACACCCACGAGGCUGCAUAUACUUUAUUACAGCAAUGCGCCAAGGGGAGUCUAGGCGGACGAGGCACCACUGUCGUUACUCUCGCCAUCAUUGUGAGGGGUCUCUCUACCACAACCGAUGUGAUCCCUCGCAACCUCUCGUCUGAAACCAAAGUGACUAUCGAGGCAGAGAAGGUUGUCGAAAAGUCGCAUCGUCGCCAGGGUCAACAAGUCACGACACGCCUCCUCGACGAUGGCGUCCACAUCAAGCAGUUGCUUCUUGAGGUCGUCGACCUCGGCCUAGAGCUUGCCCCGCUGGCCCGUGAGGCCCUUCUGUUCAUCGAGAGUAGCCUGGGCGGAAACCAACUUGCACUCCUUCGCCAAUAGGCGCUCCCGCUCUGCCUCCCACGCAGACGGGAAAGACGAUAACUCGCGCUCCCGGGUCUCGAUGUUCGCCUCGCGGGAGGCGACCGCCCUGGGGCGCCUCAAGACCUCCUCCUCAUGUUUUGUGAGCUCGACUUAGCAGGGCGUGGGACAGCUCUCGGAGGCCUCCAUAGCCUCCUCCCGCAUUUUGAGCGGACGCUCGCAUAAAGCAGGUGGUUCCUAGAGCAUCUUCUCGUCGGCAUGAGGCCCCCUCCCGUUGUCGCUUGGCCUCCUGGCAUUAUCGAGGGCCUUCAUGAGGGACACAUGGGCAUCUUUGGCGAGCUAAUCGUGAUAUGCUUGCGCCUCCUCACCCUGCUGACGGUCUAGCUUCAUCGCCUUCUCAAGCCGGCUCUUCCCCUUCUCCAAGCGUCGCCGCUCCUCCGCGUAGAGCUUUGCCUCUGUGCGCCCCUGGGAGAGUGCCUCCCGAUCCUCGACAGCCUCGCCCUCACCCUCAAGCCGAAGCUCGCCCUCCUCCUUGCCUCCCACCAGUUUUUUCUCCAGGCACGUCGGGGCGACGGGCGAGACGACCGACUCCUUGCUGAUUGCGUUGGGUUCCCUCCAGGCUCAAAUGGUGAUGUAGCACAUCGAAGACAAGUAUUUCCCUCAGUUAUGAAACAAAGGUAUCAAUCUAGUAGGAAGAUCCACAAGACUAUGUAAGCGACACAUGCACACAAAUAGCAAAUCCUUGCAAGCCAACGCGUGGAGAGGUCAUCAAUCCCUCGUGGGUAAAGUAAGGAUAGAUUGAUAUAUGCAAAUAAGAAUGAUAGCAAAUAAAAUGCAGCAUGGUAUUUUUGUUUUUUUAUAAUAUAGAUCUGAAAAUAAAAGAGAAAACAAAAUAGAAACAUGAAUAGCAAAUUAGAGGUUGCAAAUAGAUGAUGUGAAGUAGAUCCGAUGGCCGUAGGUUUCACUAGUGGCUUCUCUUGAGAAAAUAGCAAACGGUGGGUAGACAAAUUAUUGUUGGGCAAUUGAUAGAAGAGCAGAAAAUUAAGACGAUAUUCAAGACAAUGAUCAUGUGUAUGUUGGAAAUAUGCCCUAGAGGCAAUAAUAAAAUAGUUAUUAUUAUAUUUCCUGUUUCAAGAUAAUCGUUUAUUAUCCAUGCUAUAAUUGUAUUGAAUGAAAGCAUAGAUACAUGUGUGGAUAUAUAGACAAAACAAUGUCCCUAGUAAGCCUCUAGUUGGCUAGCCAGUUGAUCAAGCAUGGUUAAGGUUUUUUGACCAUAUGCAAGUGUUGUCACUUGAUGACCGGAUCACAUCAUUAGGAGAAUGAUGUGAUGGACAAGACCCAAACUUUGAACGUAGCAUGUGAUCGUGUCAUUUUGUUGCUAUUGUUUUCUGCGUGUCAAGUAUUCAUUCCUAUGACCAUGAGAUCAUGUAACUCACUGACACCAGAGGGAUACCUUGUGUGUAUCAAACGUCGCAACGUUACUGGGUGACUAUAAAGGUGCUCUAUAGGUAUCUCCGAAGGUGUCCGUUGAGUUAGCAUGGAUCAAGACUGGGAUCUGUCACUCCGUGUGACGGAGAGGUAUCUCGGGGCCCACUCGGUGAUACAACAUCACAUAUAAGCCUUGCAAGCAAUGUGACUCAAGUGUUAGUCACGGGAUCUUGUAUUACUGAACGAGUAAAGAGACUUGCCGGUAACGAGAUUGAAAUAGGUAUAGGGAUACCGACGAUCAAAUCUCGGGCAAGUAACAUAGCGAAGGACAAAGGUAAUGGUAUACGCUAUUAUAUGAAUCCUUGGCACAGAGGUUCAACCGAUAAGAUCUUCAUAGAAUACGUAGGAUCCAAUAUGGGCAUCCAGGUCCCGCUAUUGGAUAUUGAACGGGGAGUGUCUCAGGUCAUGUCUGCAUAGUUCUCGAACCCGCAGGGUCUGCACACUUAAGGUUCGGUGACGUUUCGGUAUAGUUGAGUUAUAGGUGUUGGUGAACGAAGGUUGUUCGGAGUCCCGGAUGAGAUCACGGACGUCAGGAGGGUUUCCGUAAUGGUCUGGUAACGAAGAUUGAUAUAUAGGAUGGUUUCAUUUGGUCUCUGGAAAGAUUUCGGGCAUUACCGACAGUGUACCGAGAGUGACGAAUGCAUUUCAGGUUUUCACCGGGAGGGGCCCACCCACCCGGGAGAGAGCCUAAUAGCCCAAGGGUGGCGCACCAGCCCUUAGUGGGCUGGUGAGGCCAGCCCAAGUGGGCUAUGGCGGCUAAGGAGAAAAAACCAAAGAGAAAGAAAAAAAGGGGAGGUGGGAAGGAAGAGGAGGAAUCCUCCUUCCCCAAACCGAAUCGGAGUUGGAGUCCUCCUCUCCUCUCUCGGUCGGCGCCCUAGGGGCUCCCUUGAGCCCCAAGGCUAGCCCCUCCCCUCCUCCUAUAUAUACUAGAGGUUUUAGGGUUUUUGAGACACAACUUUGCCACGUGCAACUCAAACCUCUACUUCAUAGUUCUUCCUCUAGAUCGGUUUUCUGCGUAGCUCAGGUGGAGCCCUGCAGGAAUAGAUCAUCACCAUCACCGGCGCACCAUCACGCUGCCGAAGAACUCAUCUACUUACCCGUCUAUCUUGUUGGAUCAAGAAGGCGGAGAUCGUCAUCGAGCUGUACGUGUGCUGAACGCGGAGGUGCCGUCCGUUCGGCGCUAGAUCGGAACGGAUCGUGGGACGACGGUGAUAUGAAUCACGAAGCUGUACCACUACAUCAACCGCGUUUCUUAACGCUUCCCGCUUAGCGAUCUACAAGGGUAUGUGGAUCCGAUCUCCCUCUCGUAGAUGAACAUCAUCAUGAUAGGUCUUCGUGUGCGUAGGGAUUUUUUUGUUUCCCAUGCAACGUUCCCCAACAGUGGCAUCAUGAGCUAGGUUCAUGCGUAGAUGUAAUUUCGAGUAGAACACAAAAAUUUUUGUGGGCGUUGAUGUUCAAUUUGCUGCCCUCCUUAGUCUUUUCUCGAUUCGACGGUAUUGUUGGAUUGAAGCGGCCCGGACCAACAUUACUCGUACGCUUACGAGAGACCGGUUUCAUCGACUAACAUGCAACUUGUUGCAUAAAGAUGACUGGCGGGUGCCUGUUUCUUCAACUUUAGUUGAAUUGGAUUUGACCGAGGCGGUCCUUGGAUAGAGGUUAAAUAGAAAUUUGCAUAUCUCCGUUGUGGUUUUUGCGUAAGUAAGAUGCGAUCAUACUAGAUACCAGUAGCAUCCACGUAAAACAUGCAACAACAAAUUAGAGGACGUCUAACUUGUUUUUGUAGGGUAUGCUUGUGAUGUGAUAUGGCCAAAGACAUGAUGUGAUAUAUUGGAUGUAUGAGAUGAUCAUGUUGUAAUAGUUAAUAUCGACUUACACGUCGAUGCUACGGCAACCGACAGGAGCCAUAGGGUUGUCUUCAAACUAACGUUUGUGUUUGCAGAUGCAUUUACUAUAUUGCUAGGUUGUAGCUUUAGUCGUAAUAGCAUAGAUAGCACGACAACCGCGAUGGCGGCACGAUGAUGGAGAUCAUGGUGUGGCGCCGGUGACGAUGAAGAUCAUGCCGAUGCUUUGGUGAUGGAGAUCAAGAAGCACAAGAUCAUGGCCAUAUCAUGUCACUUAUGAACUGCAUGUGAUGUUAAUCCUUUUAUGCACCUUAUCUUGCUUAGAAUGACGGUAGCAUUAUAAGGUGAUCCCUCACUAAAUUUCAAGAUAAAAUUGUGUUCUCCCCGACUGUGCACCGUUGCGACAGUUCAUUGUUUUGAGACACCACGUGAUGAUCGGGUGUGAUAGACUCAACGUUCACAUACAACGGGUGCAAAACAGUUGCACACGUAGAACACUCGGGUCAAACUUGACGAGCCUAGCAUGUGCAGACAUGGCGGGGGGGGGGGGGGGGCAAGAGACCGAAAUGUCGAGCAUGAAUCGUAUAGUUGAUAUGAUUAGCACAGAUAUGUUUACCACUGAAACUACACUCAACUCACGUGAUGAUCGGACUUGAGUUAGUGAAUUUGGAUCAUGCCACACUCAAGUAACUAGAGGGAUCUCUAUUUGAGUGGGAGUUUAUUAGUAAUUUGAUUAGUUAAACUCUAAUUGUCUUGAACAUAGUCUAAGUCCACUUUGCAAUAUUUUAUGUUGUAGAUCAAUGGCUCACGCAGUAGCAACCCUGAAUUUCAAUACGUUCCUGGAGAAAGCUAAGCUGAAAGAUGAUGGUAGCAACUUUGUAGACUGGGCUCGUAAUCUUAGGAUCAUCCUACAAGCUGGGAAAAAGAAUUAUGUCCUUGAUGCUGCACUAGGAGAUGAACCACCCACUACGUCUGAUCAAGAUGUUUUGAACGCUUGGCAAUCACAUAAGGAGGACUACUCAGUAGUUCAAUGUGCAGUCUUGUAUGGCUUGGAACCGGGACUUCAACGAUGCUUUAAACGUCAUGGAGCAUAUGAGAUGUUCCAGGAGUUGAAGUUUAUCUUUCAGAAGAACGCCCGGAUCGAGAGGUAUGGGACCUCCGAUAAAUUCUAUGCUUGCAAAAUGGAGGAGAAUUCGUCUGUUAGUGAACAUGUGCUCAAAAUGUCUGGGUAUUCAAAUCAUCUAGCCGAGUUGGGGAUUGAACUCCCGCAAGAGGCUAUCAUUGACAGAAUUGUUCAAUCACUGCCACCUAGCUAUAAGAGCUUUGUGUUGAACUAUAAUAUGCAAGGGAUGAACAAGUCACCCCGCGAGUUAUUCACGAUGCUGAAAGUCGCAGAGUCAGAACUCCGGAAAGAACAUCAAGUGUCGAUGGUCAAUAAGACCACUGGUUUCAAGAGAAACAACAAAGGCAAGAAGGGUAACUCCAAGAAGAGCGGCAAAACAGUUGCCAAUCCGACGAAGAAACCCAAGGCUGGACCUAAGCCGGAAACAUGGUUCUAUUAUUGCAAGGGGAUGGGUCACUGGAAGCGCAACUGCCCCAAGUAUUUGGCUGAUAAGAAGUCGGCCAACGCCAAACCAGGUAUAUGUGAUAUACAUGUUAUUGAUGUGUACUUAACCAACUCUCGUAGUAGUGCCUGGGUAUUUGAUACCGGUUCUGUUGCUCAUAUUUGCAACUCAAAGCAGGAACUGCGGAAUAAACGAAGGUUGGCGAAGGAUGAAGUGACGAUGCGCGUGGGAAAUGGUUCCAAGGUUGAUGCAAUCGCCGUCGGCACAGUCUCACUUCAGUUACCAUCAAGAUUAGUUAUGAACUUAAAUAAUUGUUAUUUAGUGCCUGCGUUAAGGAUGAACAUUAUAUCUGGAUCUUUUUUAUUACGAGACGGAUACUCAUUUAAGUCAGAGAAUAAUGGUUGUUCUAUUUUUAUGAGUAAUAUCUUUUAUGGUCAUGCACCCAAUGUGAGGGGUUUGUUCAUAUUGAAUGUUGAUUGUGAGUUAACAAUGAUAGCGCCACCUUUUUGUGGCACUUCUGCUUAGGUCAUAUUGGUGUAAAGCGCAUGAAGAAACUCCAUGCUGAUGGGCUUUUGGAGUCACUUUAUUUUGAAUCACUUGACAUGUGCGAACCAUGCCUCAUGGGAAAGAUGACUAAGACCCCGUUCUCUGGAACAAUGGAACAUGCAAGUGACUUGUUGGAGAUCAUACAUAAUGAUGUGUGCGGUCCAAUGAGUGUGGAGGCGCGUGGCGGAUAUCGUUAUUUUCUCACCUUCACUGAUGAUUUGAGUAGGUAUGGAUAUAUCUACUUGAUGAAGCACAAGUCUGAAAUGUUUGAAAAGUUCAAGCAAUUUCAGAGUGAAGUGAAAAUCAUCGUAACAAGAAUAUCAAGUUCCUACGAUCUGAUCGAGGGGGUGAGUAUCUGAGUUUCGAGUUCGAUGCUCACUUAAGACAAUGUGGAAUCGUUUCACUGUUGACACUUCCUAGAACACCACAGUGUAAUGGUGUGUCCGAACGUCAUAAUCGUACUUUGUUAGAUAUGGUGCGAUCUAUGAUGUCUCUUACCGAUUUGCCAUUAUCGUUUUGGGGUUAUGCAUUAGAGACAGCUGCAUUCACUUUAAAUAGGGCACCAUCAAAAUCCGUUGAGAUGACACCAUAUGAGCUAUGGCAUGGCAAGAGGCCAAAGUUGUCGUUUCUUAAAGUUUGGGGAUGCGAUGCUUAUGUCAAAAAGCUUUAGCCUGAAAAGUUGGAACCCAAAGCGGAAACGUGUUUCUUCAUAGGUUACCCAAAAGAGACAGUUGCGUACACCUUCUAUCUCAGAUCCGAGGGCAAAGUGUUUGUUGCUAAGAAUGGAUCUUUUCUUGAGAAGGAGUUUCUCUCGAAAGAAUUGAGUGGGAGGAAGAUAUAACUUGAUGAGGUUGUGGAACCUUUGCUCCCUCUAGAUGGUGGCGUAGGGCAGAGAGAAAUCUCUGUCGAGGCAACACCGGUUGAGGAAGAAGCUAAUGAUGAUGAUCAUGAAGCUUUGGAUCAAGUUACUAUCGGACCUCGCAGGUCGACAAGAUCACGUACUGCUCCUGAGUGGUACAGGAAUCAUGUCUUAUCGAUCAUGUUGUUAGACAACAAUGAACCUGUGAAUUAUGAAGAAGCAAUGGUGGGCCCGGAUUCCAACGAAUGGCUGGAGGCCAUGAAGUCCGAGAUAGGAUCUAUGUAUGAAAACAAAGUAUGGACUUUGGAAGUAUUACCUGAAGGUCAUAAGGCUAUUCAGAACAAAUGGAUCUUUAAGAAGAAGACGAACGCGGACGGUAAUGUGACCGUUUAUAAAGCUCGACUUGUGGCAAAGGGUUUUUCACAAGUUCAAGGAGUUGACUACGAUGAGACGUUCUCACUGGUAGAAAUGCUUAAGUCCGUCCGAAUCAUGUUAGCAAUAGCUGCAUUUUUCGAUUAUGAAAUCUGGCAGAUGGAUGUCAAAACGGCGUUCCUUAAUGGUUUUCUUAAGGAAGAGUUGUAUAUGAUGCAACCCGAAGGUUUUGUCGAUCCAAAGAAUGCUAACAAAGUACGCAAGCUCCAGCGAUCCAUUUAUGGACUGGUGCAAGCAUCUCGGAGUUGGAAUAAGUGCUUUGAUGAGGUGAUGAAGUGUAAGGACUAAGAUGCGGUCCUUUUCGGUUUAGGGGAACGAGGCCCCAAAGAGGAAAGAAGCGCAUCUAAGCGUUUCGCAAACACGGUAACAUAGCACAUACAUAAUAAUAGAAUGACAAUUAGGGAUUCAACUGCCAUAUCAUAAAUAAUAUUAGAGUUUACAUCACGCAUCCAAGCAAGGUAGUUCCGCUAUGGACUACAAAACAUGAGAAAUGACUAUGUUACCCUGCAUGCUUGCCCACGAUCACGACCACGCCUCAGUCUUUUGGACAGUUCACGUACAGGCGGUCGUUCUCCUCAUCGUACUGCCACGCCAGCUACGUGUCGUCGGGAUCACCUGUCUCGGGGGUACCUGAACCUAUUGGUGCGUUGAAGUAAUAUGUGAGCCACGGGGACUCAACAAUCUAUGACCUCGGUGCUAGAACUAGUCAAGUUAAUAGGUAAGGAAGGUGGAGUAUUUAGGUUGCAACAUCCUAAGCAUAUAUGGUGGCUAACUUACGUAGAGCAAGUAUUGAAGAUGGUCUAUACUAGCAAUCGAUGAUUAGCUGAUCACUAAGUGAUCCUGAACACCUACUUAUGUCAAUCAUAACCCCACCGUGUUCCCGAUCGAAGAGAAGUCUUCGAAGGGGACAAUCACGGUUACACAAACAGUUGGCAAUUUUAUUAGCUUAUGUUUAAGUUAUCUAUAAGCGGAUGUUAACAAAUAUUCCAAGUUGCCACAUAACCGCGGGCACGACUUUCCGAAAUAUUAAACCCUGCAGGCGUGCUCCAACUAGUCCAUCACAAAUGGUCACGGGCCGCAAAGUAAUCCUCUAUCACGAAUCUCGUGAUCUCGUCGGAUUCCUUAGAGGAAAACCUCAACUCUGGGGAGAACCAAAGCUUCACCGGGAUUCCUAUACACAAGAUAUAUCGCUAAGGUAAGACAAGAUUAGCAGGACCUCCCGUCGUGUCGACGACCCCGAUAAGAGCCGCGUAUCUCAGUCUCAGGACACGACGGAUGAGCUACGCGCACGAUGGCCUGAUAGAAAUCACUCAAGUUGCCCUGAGUUGGCCCCGAACAGUGCUCAUUUUGGACCAACACUCAUGAGGAGCACUGGCCCGGGUUGUUGAUUAACUCCUCGGGGUGAUCAUUCCCUAUGCAGAUUAUUAUUAAGUGAUUAGCAAAUUAACACCAAUGUUGGGUCCCUCCGGACAAGUCUUAACACUACACGAUUUAUCAAGGGGGUCCCCAUAACAACCCCGAACGUGUUAGGAGCGAACAGUUAUGGAAUCAAACACUCGUAGCCGGAAACUAUGGCGGCAAUAACGGAACAAAACACCCGGAAAAAGGCUAAGCCUUCCGUUAUUUACCAAGUAUAUAGGUGCAUUAAUUAAAUAAUAGAUUAACAUAAUGAUAUCAACUGAUGUUAUCACAUGAGACAAAGCACCUGCAACUAGCAACGCUGACAUUAGUAGCUGAGCAAAGCCUACUUAGCCGUUCAAGAUUUGCUAGGAGGGGAAAGUGUUUGGUUUUCAUGGCAAUAUUCAGGAGGCAAUUAUUUCAGUGGUAGGCAGCGAGCAUAUGACAAGGAAACGUGAAUCUAGCAUAACAAGUCUAGAGAUGGAAUCAAGAUCAUAUCAUCUUGCGUGUGAUGUCCUCAGCUUGGAAUUGCUCUGGUUCGUCCUGCACGUACUCUCCCGGAUCCACGUACUCAUUCUCUGAUCCCGGUGCUACCCAACAUAAAAAUAACAUCCAAUGAAUAACAACACUUCAAGAUGCAACAAGCACAUGAUGCAUGAGAUGAAAAUGAACAUGCACCUCUAUUGUACUCACUUGAACAUGCUUGAGAAGGAGAUACAAGUUCCUGGACAAAACUGCACUCUAAGCUAUCUUGUCAUGUAUGAGGAUGACAUGAACAGAAGCGUCACGCGAAAAUGAUGCAAAAACAUAUAAAGAACGUUACGUUCGGAGCUACGGAUCAACCGGAAACAAUGAAACAAGAAAUAGAGUCCUACGUGUCAAAUUCGUCACCACACACUCCAAUGGCAUACUUCUGCUAUUCCCAGGUUGCCAUAUCACAAAACAAACAAGAAUGGAUGGGGUGGUGCAAAGAAUACCACCACACCAUCAACUAUGCACUCCCAAGCAUCAAACAUCAAAACUAUACAAUCUGCCAUAAGCAACAUCAUAGCAGUUUGAGAGCUACAUGCAAAGCACCUACAGCUGCCCAAAUAUGCCAAAUAGGAUAUGUGGCAGAAGCUAUCCAAGAGUACUAGAAGCAUGAGCAAAAAUCUAAUUCGAAGGAGUUUCAUACGGAAAGUUACACAGCUGCUAACUUGGCCAAAAAUAUUAGUUUCCAGGGACUUAGUGAAAAUCUCAGAUUCUCACUAGCUGUUUAUGCUCUGAAGCAUUUUGACAGCACCCAAAACAAUAUCUACAGGAUUCCAAAUGGAAUGAAAAUUGACAGAUAGCUAUACAAAUACAAAAUCUACAACUUCCCAGUUGAUAGCUAGGGCUGAUUCCCAACACAUGGUCUUCUACAAGCACAACAACAGGAGAAGAAAAUAUAAGCAGAUUCCCAGACUUAGUGAAAAUCUGUGAUUUUCACUAAACUGGAAUUUUUAGUCACAUGCCUACUUUGACUAGGCACAACUUGCACACAUGAACUCCUAAGCAUGAAACAAAACCAACAUGUGGUAGAAGGGUUCACCCUCUACCGCCACAACAAAGAAUCAACCUCUUGGGCUCAUCACAUCACAUGGAACCAAGCUCUAAACAUGGAACAAAACUGAAAUAUGACAUUCCCAGAAAGUGUUCCAAAGGCAAAACUUACUUCACCAAUGGAUUCAUGGGAUGAUUCUACCCCAAAAACAUAUAUAAUACAUAUGCACUUGCAUAGAAUAAUUGGGCACAAGGCUAAGAAGAAGAUAAGCAUGGAUUCACAAGGUGUGAAUAGUGCAUCAUCACAUGUGCUAUUCAGUAAAACAACACCUACAUAUCCACUUGCACACUAUCAACACUACAAUGGUGCACAUGAGGGUUAUCCCUCAUGCUCAUGUGCCUUAGCAAACCACCACACACACACACAAGCAUCAAGCACAACAUAAUAUAAACACCUACACAUGCUAAUGGGAACACCCACACUAGAUUACACCACAACAUCUAUACACCUUCACAUAUAAACAUGCUCAUGUGCUCAUCAAGGCACUCCAUGCCUUGAGCAUGUGUGGGACACACACACACCAUCUCACACAACAACACAAGAGCACCUACAUAUACACAAGGUAGGUGAGGGCGGAAACCCACACACACACUCACAUCACAUACUUGCACAAGAUAGGACAUAAGNNNNNNNNNNNNNNNNNNNNNNNNNNUGCAUAUCUAUAGCCUAGUGCAACACACAACUAAACACACCCACACAUACAUGUCAUCUAGCUCACAAUGCACAUACAUACAUAUCACUACACAUGCAUAUUUACAUAGCUAGAGAAAUACUAGGAACCUGCUAGAAUAAAUCCAGCAACCAAAACUUGCCUCACAAGCAUGCUGCAGUACAAUAUAGCAAGCAAACAAAACAAACAGGGAAGAAAUGCACAAAAAAAGGACAGGGGAGGGAUCGAACCCUAGAGCCCCUGAUCACCACCUGCACCUCAUACCACUGCGCUAUGGAACAGUCACUUGACAGAUAAGGAAAGCCUAGCAGGAUAAGGUGAUACACGCUGCUCUGUUACUGUGCCGAGAGAAAAAUAGCACAAAAAGGGGGGUUUGGCGCCGCGGGGAUUCGAUCCCACAACCACCUGAUCCACAACAAACACUGCACCACUAUGCCGCGCUACUAUACUUGACAGAGAGGAGGAACUCUCCAAGGUAAGACAUCGAAGCCGGCCUGCUCUGCUACUCACAGAGACGCCGACGGCAGCAAGCCACCGGAGCAAACCUACUUGCUCUACUGCUGCUCUACGCGCGGGGAUCCAUCUACACUACAACUACUACGCUGUUGGAGGCCCCGAGCCACGACGAGCCAAGCACAACAACACAAGAACGACACACCACCUGCACCUGCCCUCGUGCUCUUCUCUGAACAGAGAGGCACGACCUCGAUCUCCUACGCGCAACUACCGAGGAAGAAAAGAGGAAGAUACUAGCUCUCACCUAGGGGAAGGAGGAGAGGUUGCCGAUCGGGGAAGAGGCCUGCCUGGAGAAGAACGAAGACGACCUGAAGCGCCUGACGAAGAACUCUGCAGAACCAAAGCAGGGAGGAACAGGCCGCCGGGAACACGCCGUUGACGUGGUCCUGCCCGUCGCUGUGGUCGCGCUUUGACCUCAACAACAACGGGAAUGGAACGCGGGGCCUACCCCCGAGCCCCCUGACAUGAUGGCCGACACCGAAGGCGGCGGAUGCACGGGAUCGACGACGGCGCACUACUGCCCUCUAUGUGUACCUGGAUCUACAGGAGCUUACCUUGGGGAAGGAGGAGAAGGAUGGAGACGGCAGCGCUAGAUGGGGGAAGCAUGGAACCCUAGGGCAAGGGGGCACGAACGCCGAGGGUUAUAAGAGGGCCUCGACGUCUGUGAGCCCUCACGGCAUGCUCGCUCCCUCUCUGCUGCGUGACGGAAAGCGACGCACGGGGAGACGCCGUCUGAAGAAGGAGAAGGAACGCGUGCCUGGGCUGCCGCGGGGGGGGGGGAGAGAAGCUAGGCCUGCUAGUGGGAGGAGGCCCACUAGUUGGCGCCAGGUAGAAGGAAAUAAACCCAUGGGGUUUAUUAAUUAAGCCAAGACCAGACAAACAAAACAAAUGCACAUGCUAAACAGAUAAAGCUAAAAUUAAAUCAAAAAUACCCCUGGUCAUAAGAAAUUAUGACCUAUUUAAAUAAAAUAGAAAAGAAAUAUUUGGAGCAAUUAAAUAUUUACAAAACAACAUUUAUAUGAUAUGUUUUGGGAAUAUUUGCACCUUUAAAAUAUAGAUUCAAAACAACCAAUUCACAUCUUCACAUCCACCACAAAGUAUACUAAAUCAUGGACAUUUUUUAAAACAAGGAUGGGACAAGUGAAGCUUGACCUUGAGAUAAAUAAAGAGGAAGAUGGUUUUGAAGCCUAUGCAAACCACAUAGUUUCCUACUAGCAAUUGCACCACUCCAUUACUCACAUACACUAUCAUCACAUGACAUAUUCAACACACCACAUACCCACAUGGAUUCACAAAGGCACAAACACAAGACAUGGGUGAAUGAUAGAUGCAUGCAAGCAAAGGAAGAACAAAACAAUGUGACAUCACAUGAAAUCAUAUGCAUUGAGCUCUCAUAUCAAUGACAAGGUGGACCCACAUAGAGAAGGUUCCAGAUAUGGCAAGAUACACUCUUGGGGCAUUACAUGAAGGCAUUUGGGUUUAUACAAGUUAUUGGAGAAUCUUGUAUUUACAAGAGAGUGAGUGGGAGCUUUGUAGAGUUUCUUAUAUUAUAUGUGGAUGACAUAUUGCUGAUUGGAAAUAAUGUGGAGUUUUUAGAGAGCGUAAAGGAUUACUUGAACAAAUGUUUUUCAAUGAAAGACCUAGGAGAAGCUGCUUACAUAUUAGGCAUUAAUAUCUAUAGGGAUAGAUCGAGGUGCCUAAUAGGACUUUGACAAAGCACAUACCUUGAUAAAGUUUUGAAGAAGUUCAAAACGGAGCAGUCCAAGAAGGGGUUCUUGCCAGUGUUACAAGGUAUAAAGUUGAGUAAGACUCAGUGUCCGGUAACCGCGGAAGAUAGAGAAAAGAUGAGUAGCGUCCCCUAUGCUUCAACCAUCGGGUCUAUCUUGUAUGCAAUGUUAUGCACAAGACCGGACGUCAGCCUGGACAUAAGUAUGGCACGCAGGUUUCAAAGUAAUCCAGGAGUGGAUCACUGGACGACGGUCAAGAAUAUUCUGAAAUACCUGAAAAGGACUAAGGAAAUUUUUCUCGUUUAUGGAGGUGACGAAGAACUCGUCGUAAAGGGUUACGUCGAUGCAAGCUUUCACAUUGAUCCGGAUGACUCUAAGUCUCAAUCCGGAUACAUAUUUGUUCUUAAUGAGGGUGCGGUAAGCUGGUGCAGUUCCUAGCAAAGCGUCGUAGCAGAUUCUACAUGUCAAGUGGAGUACAUGGCUUCCUCGAAGGCAGCUAAGGAGGGUGUCUCGAUGAAGCAAUUCAUGACGGAUUUUGGAGUUGUGUCGAGUGCACUAAAUCCAAUAACUCUGUUCUGUGACAACACUGGUGCCAUUGCUCUAGCCAAGGAACCAAGGUUUCACAAGAAGACCACACACAUCAAAGGACGCUUGAUACGUCUCCAACGUAUCUAUAAUUUUUGAUGGUUCCAUGCUAUUAUAUUGUCUUCUUUGGAUGUUUUGCAUGCCUUUUAUAUAUUUUUUGGGACUAACUUAUUAACUCAGUGCCAAGUGGUAGUUCCUGUUUUUUCCAUGUUUUUGACCCUUUUUCAGACGGAGUCCAAAUGGAAUGAAACUUUACGAUGAUUUUUUUGGACCAAAAGAUACCCCCAAAGCUUUGGAAGAAGGCCAGAAGAGCCACGAGGGAGUCACAAGCCCAUGUUAUGCGGCCUACCCCCCUGGUCGCACCGUGCAGGCUUCUGACCUCCUUGUGGGCCCAACUGACUCAAUUCCACCGCCAUAAAUUCCUAUAAAUUCAGAAACCCCCAGAAAGAAACCUAGAUCGGGAGUUCCGCCGCCGCAAGCCUCUGUAGCCACCAAAAACCAAUCUGGAGCCCGUUCCGGCACCCUGCCGAAGGGGGAAUCCAUCUCCAGUGGCCAUCUUCAUCAUCCCGGCGAUCUCCAUGACGAGGAGGGAGUAGUUCUCCCUCGGGGCUGAGGGUAUGUACCAGUAGCUAUGUGUUUGAUCUCUCUCUCUCUCGUGUUCUUGAGAUGUCUUGAUCUCGAUGUACCGUGGGCUUUGCUACUAUAGUUGGAUCUUACGAUGUUCUUCCCCCUCUCCCUUCUUGUAAUGAAUCGAGUUUCCCCUUUGGAGUUAUCUUAUCGGUUUGAGUCUUUGAGAGCACUUGAUGUAUGUCUUGAACCUGUCUAUCUACUUUGAUCAACCUGCGGGUUUGUGACAAUUGGGAACCUAUGCAUAUGGUUGGCACACGUGGAUUCAUGUGAGUACUCGAUGUAUGUUUUGGUGAUCAACUUGUGGGUUCGUGACAUUGGGAACCUAUGCAUAGGGGUUGGCACACGUUUUGACUCUCCGGUAGAAACUUUGGGGCACUCUUUGAAGUUCUAUGUGUUGCUUGAAUAGAUGAUUCUGAGAUUGUGUGAUGCAUAUCGUAUAAUCAUGCACACGGAUACUUGAGGUGACAAUGGAGUAUUGAUACGUCCAUUUUGCAUCAUGCUUUCAUGUUGAUAUUUAUUGCUUUUUGGGCUGUUAUAUUACUUGUGGUACCAUAUUUAUGCCUUUUCUCUCUUAUUUUGCAAGGUUUAUUUGAAGAGGGAGAAUUCAGGCAGCUGGAAUUCUGGACUGGAAAAGGAGCAAAUCCUAGUCCACUAUUCUGCACAUCUCCAAAUGCCCUAAAAAGUUACGUGGAUUUUUUUGGGAUUAUAUAAAAAAUAUGGGGCGAAAGAACUACGGGAGGGGGGCUACCAGGGCGCCACAAGCCCUGACACCGCCACCCCCUGGUGGCGGAGUGGGGGCUUGCGGGUUCCCUGACGGCCCACUAGCCCCCCUCUUUUGCUAUAUGAAGCGUCCUGGUCCAGAAAAAAAUCAAUUAGGAGCUUUUUCGUGGUUUCGCCGCCGCCAUGAGGCGGAACUUGAGAAGAUCCAAUCUAGAGCUCCGGCAGGACGAUCCUGCCUGGGAAACUUCCCUCCCGGAGGGGGAAAUCGUCGCCAUUGUCAUCACCAACACUCCUCUAAUCGGAGGGGAUGCAUCUUCAUCAACAUCUUCAUCAGCACCAUCUCCUCUCCAAUCCCUAGUUCAUCUCUUGUAACCAAUCUUCGUCUCGCUACUCCGAUUGGUACUUGUAAGGUUUCUAGUAGUGUUGAUUACUCUUUGUAGUUGAUGCUAGUUGGAUUACUUGGUGGAAGAGUUUAUGUUCAGAUCCUUGAUGCUAUUCAUUACACCUCUGAUCAUGAUUAUGAUUAUGUUUUGUGAGUAGUUACUUUUGUUCCUGAGGACAUGGGAUAAGUCAUGUUAAUAAUAGUCAUGUGAAUUUGAUAUUCGUUCGGUAUUUUGAUAUGUUGUAUGUUGUCUUUUCCUCUAGUGGUGUUAUGUGAACGUCGAUUACAUAACACUUCACACCAUAUUUGGGCCUAGAGGAAAGCAUUAGGAAGUAGUAAGUAGAUGAUGGGUUGCUGGAGUGACAGAAGCUUAAACCCCAGUCUAUGCGUUGCUUCGUGAGGGGCUGAUUUGGAUCCACUAGUUUAAUGCUAUGGUUAGACUUUGUAUUAAUUAUUUUUUUGGAGUUGCAGAUGCUUGCGAGAGAGGUUAAUCAUAAGUGGGAUGCUUGUCCAAGUAAGGGCAGUACCCAAGCGCCGGUCCACCCACAUAUCAAACUAUCAAAGUAACGAACGCGAAUCAUAUGAACAUGAUGAAACUAGCAUGACAGAAAUUCCCGUGUGUCCUCGGGAGUCUUUUUCCUCCUAUAAGACUUUGUUCAGGCUUGUCCCUUGCUACAAAAGGGAUUGGGCCACUUGCUGCACCUUUGCUACUACUUGUUACUUGUUACUUUUUGCUCGCUACAUUUGACCUCACUACACCAUCACUUGUUACCGCUACUUUCAGUGCUUGCAAUUAUUACCUUGCUGAAAUCCGCUUAUCAGAGCCUUCUGCUCCUCGUUGGGUUCGACACUCUUACUUAUCGAAAGGACUACGAUUGAUCCCCUAUACUUGUGGGUCAUCGAGACUCUUUUCUGGCGCCGUUGCCGGGGAGUGAAGUGCCUUUGGUAAGUGGAAAUUGGUAAGGAAACAUUUUUAUAUUGUGCUGAAAUUUAUUGUCACUUGUCACUAUGGAAACUGUUCCUUUGAGGAGUUUGUUCGUGGUAUAUUCACCACGAACGGAAGCACGAGGAGUUUCUCCUCAACCUGAGGUACCUACUGAAAAUAUCUUUUAUGAAAUUCCUUCGGGUAUGCUUGAGAAACUGCUGGCUAAUCCUUUCACAGGAGAUGGAUCUUCACAUCCAGACUUGCAUCUGAUCUUUGUAGAUGAAGUUUGUGGUUUAUUUAAGCUUGCAGGUUUGCCCGAGGAUGUGGUAAAGAAGAAAGUCUUUCCUUUAUCUUUGAAGGAUAAGGCAUUGACAUGGUAUAUGCUAUGUGAUGAUACUGGAUCAUGGGGCUACAAUCGGUUGAAAUUGGAAUUUCAUCAAAAGUUCUAUCCUAUGCAUUUAGUACAUCGUGAUCGGAACUUUAUUUAUAACUUUUGGCCUCGUGACAGGGAAAGCAUAGCUCAAGCUUGGGGGAGGCUUAAAUCAAUGCUAUAUUCAUGCCCCAAUCAUGAGCUCUCGAGAGAAAUCAUCACUCAAAACUUUUAUGCUCGAUUUUCUCAUGAAGAUGUACCAUGCUUGACACUUCUUGUGCCGGUUCUUUUAUGAAGAAGGAUAUUGAUCACAAGUGGAAUUUAUUGGAGAGAAUCAAACGCAAUUCUGAAGAUUGGGAGCUGGAGGAAGGUAAGGAGUCAAGUAUGAAUUUCCAGUUUGAUUGCGUUAAAUCUUUUGUUGAGACAAACACUUCUAGAGAUUUUAGCACAAAGUAUGGACUUGAGUCUGAGAUAGUAGCUUCUCUAUGUGAAUAUUUUGCUGCUCAUGUUGAUCUUCCCAAAGAGAAGUGGUUUAAAUAUCAUCCUCCUGUAGAAAGCAACAUAGCUAAAACCAAUCUAGUUGAGGAGAAAGUCAUUGCUUUUAGUGAUCAUGUUGUUCCUUGUGCUUACACUGAGAAACCACCAUACCCUCCUAGGAUAAAGGAUUAUUCUAAAGCUCCGAUGAUACGUAGGGGUUACAUUAGACCACUUGCACCCCCUGAGGAGAUUAGAGUUGAACCUAGUGUUGCUAUUAUCAAAGAUCUCUUAGCCGAAGACAUAAAUGGGCAUGUUAUCAAAUUCUGCGAGGACUCUGCUAGAAUUGCUAAACCUCACGCGAAAGACAAACACGGACCUGUAGUUGGCCUGCCCGUUGUUUCUGUUAAGAUAGGAGAUCACUGUUACCAUGGUUUAUGUGAUAUGGGAGCUAGUGUUAGUGCAAUACCCCGUUCUAUAUAUGAUGAAAUCAAAGAUGAGAUUGCACCUGCUGAGUUAGAACCCAUUGAUGUUACUAUUACGCUAGCUAAUAGAGACACUAUCUGCCCUCUGGGAAUUGUGAGAGACGUAGAAGUCCUAUGUGGUAAGACGAAGUAUCCUACUGAUUUCCUCGUCCUUGGUACUGCACAAGAUAGCUUUUGUCCCAUCAUAUUUGGUAGACCCUUUCUCAACACUAUCAACGCUCACAUUGAUUGCAUUAAGCAGACUGUCACAGUUAGUUUCGAGGGUGUGUCUCAUGAAUUUAACUUCUCCAAGUUUGGAAGACAACCCCAUGAAAGAGAGUCGUCCGGUAGGGAUGAAAUCAUUGCUCUUGCCUCUAUUGCCGUACCUCCUACAGAUCCUUUAGAGCAAUAUCUGCUUGAGCAUGAAAAUGAUAUGCAUAUGGAGGAGAGAGAUGAGAUAGAUAAAAUUGUCUUAGAACAAUAUCCUAUUCUCAAGAAUAAUCUGCCUGUUGAACUGCUUGGGGAUCCUCCCCCACCAAAGGGUGAUCCUGUGUUCGAGCUUAAAUAGUUGCCUGAUACUCUUAAGUAUGCCUAUCUUGAUGAGAAGGAGAUAUAUCCUGUCAUUAUUAGUGCUCUCCUCUCAGAGCAUGAAGAGAAGAAGUUACUAAGAACUCUGAGGAAGCACCGCGCUGCUAUUGGAUAUACUCUUGAUGAUCUUAAGGGUAUUAGUCCUACUCUAUGUCAGCACAAGAUUAAAACCGAUCCUGACUUUAAACCAGUUGCUGAUCAUCAAAGGAGAUUAAAUCCUAAGAUGAAAGAGGUCGUUAGAAAAGAAAUAUUAAAGCUUCUGGAAGCAGGAAUCAUUUAUCCUGUUGCUCAUAGUGAUUGGGUAAGUCCAGUACAUUGCGUACCUAAGAAGGGAGGUAUCACCGUCGUUCCUAAUGAUAAGGAUGAACUAAUCCCACAAAGGAUUAUUACCAGCUAUAGAAUGGUGAUAGACUUCCGGAAACUGAACAAGGCAACCAGGGAAGAUCAUUAUCCUUUGUCGUUCAUCAACCAAAUGCUAGAAAGGCUAUCAAAGCACACACACUUCUGCUUUCUAGACGGUUAUUCAGGUUUCUCGCAAAUACCAGUUGCACAAUCUGAUCAAGAGAAAACCACUUUCACCUGCCCUUUCAGUACCUUUGCCUAUAGACGUAUGCCUUUUGGCUUAUGUAAUGCACCCGCCACCUUCCAAAGAUGUAUGAUGGCUAUAUUCUCUGACUUUUGUGAAAAGAUCGUCGAGGUUUUCAUGGAUGACUUCUCUGUUUAUGGGUCCUCCUUUGAUGAUUGCCUCAGCAACCUUGAUCGAGUCUUACAGAGAUGCGAAGAAACCAACCUCGUCUUGAAUUGGGAGAAGUGCCACUUUAUGGUUAAUGAAGGUAUCGUCUUAGGACACAAAAUUUCUGAGAGAGGCAUUGAAGUUGAUAAGGCUAAGGUUGAUGCAAUUGAGAAAAUGCCUUGCCCCACAGAUAUAAGAGGUAUACGAAGUUUCCUAGGUCAUGCUUGUUUCUAUAGAAGGUUCAUUAAAGACUUCUCUAAGAUUUCUAGGCCUCUUACCAACCUCUUGCAGAAGGAUGUUCCUUUUGUUUUUUAUGAGGAUUGUGAGGAAGCUUUCGAAAUACUUAAGAAGGCUUUGAUAACCGCACCUAUUGUUCAACCACCUGACUGGAACUUGACCUUGGAAAUCAUGUGUGACGCUAGUGAUUAUGCUGUUGGUACUGUUCUAGGACAAAGAGUUGAUAAGAAGUUGAAUGUCAUUCACUACCCUAGUAAAACUCUAGACAGUGCCCAAAGAAACUAUGCCACUACGGAGAAGGAAUUUUUAGCAGUCGUGUUUGCAUGCGAAAAGUUGAGAUCUUAUAUAGUUGACUCCAAAGUUACUAUUCACUCUGAUCAUGCUGCUAUUAAGUACCUUAUGGAGAAGAAGGACGCUAAGCCUAGGCUUAUCAGAUGGGUUCUCCUGCUACAGGAAUUUGAUUUGCACGUCGUUGACCGAAAGGGUGCUGAUAACCCUGUAGCAGAUAACUUGUCUAGGCUAGAGAAUGUCCUUGAUGACCCACUACCUAUUGAUGACAACUUUCUUGAUGAGCAAUUAAAUGUCAUCCGCACUUCACUUAGUGCAUCGUGGUAUGCCGAUUAUGCAAACUAUAUCGUAGCCAAAUACAUACCACCCAGUUUCACCUAUCAGCAAAAGCAGAAAUUCUUCUUUGAUUUGAGACACUACUUUUGGGAUGAUCAUCACCUUUAUAAGGAAGGAGUAGAUGGUGUUAUUAGACGUUGUGUGCCUGAACAUGAACAGGGACAAAUCCUGCAGAUGUGUCAUUUCGAAGCCUACGAAGGACACCAUGCUGGAGAUAGAACUGCCCAUAAGGUAUUGCAAACAGGUUUCUAUUGGCCCACUCUCUUCAAGGAUGCUCGUAGGUUUGUCUUGUCUUGUGACGAAUGCCAAAGAAUAGGGAACAUCAGUAAGCGUCGGGAAAUGCCUAUGAACUACUCACUUGUCAUUGAACCAUUUGAUGUCUGGGGCUUUGAUUAUAUGGGACCCUUCCCGAGUUCCAAUGGGUACACUCACAUCUUAGUUGCUGUGUAUUACGUUACUAAGUGGGUAGAAGCUAUCCCCACUAAAAAUGCUGAUCACCACACCUCUAUUAAGAUGCUUAAAGAAGUCAUUUUCCCAAGAUUUGGAGUCCCUAGGUACUUGAUGACUGAUGGCGGUUCACACUUCAUUCAUGGUGUUUUCCACAAGAUGAUAGCUAAGUAUGAUGUCAACCAUAGAGUUGCAUCUCCUUAUAAUCCUUAGUCUAGUGGUCAAGUUGAGUUGAGUAAUAGGGAGAUCAAGUUGAUCUUACAAAAGAUCGUCAACAGAUCUCGAAAGAACUGGUCUAGCAAACUCGACGAUGCACUAUGGGCUUAUAGGACUGCUUAUAAGAAUCCCAUGGGCAUGUCACCGUAUAAAAUGGUUUACGGUAAGGCCUGUCAUUUACCUCUUGAGCUGGAACACAAAGCUUAUUGGGCAAUCAAAGAGCUCAAGUUUGAUUUCAAACUUGCCGGUGAGAAGCGGUUGUUUGAUAUCAUCUCGUUAGAUGAAUGGAGAACCCAGGCAUAUGAGAAUGCCAAGUUGUUCAAGGAAAAGGUUAAGAGAUGGCACGACAAACGAAUACAGAAACGAGAGUUCAAUGUAGGUGAUUAUGUCUUGCUAUACAAUUCUCGUUUGAGAUUCUUUGCAGGCAAGCUUCUCUCUAAAUGGGAAGGUCCCUAUGUUAUCGAGGAAGUAUAUCGUUCCGGUGCCAUCAAAAUCGAUAACACGGAAGGAAAUUUUCCUAGAGUGGUAAAUGGGCAAAGAAUCAAGCAUUACAUCUCUGGUACUCCCAUAAAUGUUGAGACCAAUAUCAUCAAUGUCAUAACUCCAUAGGAGUACAUAAGGGAUGUUUAUCAGCAUGUUUCAGACCUUGAAAACGAAGAUGUAUCUGUUUUGGUAAGAAAUUGGACUCCGAUACUUUUCCAAUAGGAAAUUUCUUCCGUUUUGGAAUUUUUGGAAAAUUAGAAAAAUAAAAAGCAGUCUGUAGAGCGAACGAGGCGGGCACAAGCCCUGCCACCGCCCCUACCCCCUGGUGGCGGAGGGCAAGCUUGUGGGCACCUCAUGUGCCUCCCGGACUCCGUUUUCUUGCGGAGGACUCCUUCUGGCCCAGAAAAAAAUCAAUAUAUAGUCGCCCGAAGGUUUUGAUCUCCGUAUCGCGUAGUUUUCCUCUGUUUUCGUUUAAAGCUUGUUGUCUGCCGCAUAUUUAGAGCAAAGAUGUCUCAGGAAUCUGUUGGGGAGAAUGAUCUUCACCAAGUUCAUGAGGAAGUAGAUGCUGAUAUGAAAAGAGUAGAAGUCACGGAAUCUAGGGACCAAGCUACGGAGAAAACCCAAGCUAGGGAGGAAGUUCAACCUAUGUUCAACAUUGAAGACAUGGAAGGAGUAUAUUUUCUCCAACCCUUCCUCCACGUGCUGUCUCCAUCCUUGAUUGAACUCUUGAGGUUUUGCGAAACAACUCGUGCUCGCAAUAUUUCUCUUUCUCGUGAAGUUGUUUUGCUGGAAAACCAUGUCACAUAUCUCAAAGGUAUAAAUCAAAGAUUGAUAGCUCUCUUGGAAUCAAAGGCGAUAACUCCACCACCAUCACCACUAAAGGAAGACAACUAAGCAUUGGUAUGGGCAAUCCCCUUGGCUUCUGCCAAGCUUGGGGGAGUUGCCCUGGUAUCGUAUCACCUUUAUAUCUUUUGCUUUUACCUUUGUUUUAGUUCUUUCCUUUUCAGUUUUUAUUUCUUCUCUUAGAGGAAUAAGUCUUGUGUUUUUAGUUUGAGUCUUUUGCUUUUGUCUCUCUUCCGAUGUAUUUGAGCUCGCGAGCUAUAUAAUAAAGAGUAUCUUAGUCAAGGGCUUUGCUUUGUGCCUUGAUCAAAAGUAUGAAAAGAACGAUAGCAUGAAAGAUCAUGAGACGAUCUUAUGGAAAGUGAUAACUUCACUUGUGACACGUAUGAUGAUUGAAACUUGUUGAGAAUAAAUCAACAUAUACCUUAGUCAUUGUUGUAAUUAAUAAGAAGUAAUAACGAAAGAGAGGUUCACAUAUAAUAUAUCAUCUUAGACACUUUUUUACAAUUGUGAGCACUCACCAAACUAUUACAUGCUUAGGAGCAGAUGUUGGACAAGGAAGACAACAUAAUGAAUUGUGUUUGCUUGGUUCCAAACAAUGUUAUAUGAUUAGAGAUCCCUUAGCAUGUGACGAUUGCUUCCACCUUAUAUUAGCCAAAACUCCCGCACCAAGUAGAGAUACUACUUGUGCAUCCAUAAACCUCCAACCAGUUUUGCCAUGAGAGUCCACCAUGCCUACCUAUGGAUUGAAUAAGAUCCUUCAAGUAAGUUGUCAUCGGUGCAAGCAAUAAAAAUUGCUCUCUAAUAUGUAUGAUCUAUUAGUGUGUGGAAAAUAAGCUUUGUACGGACCUGUGAUGAGGAAGACAUAAAAGCAAUAGACUGCAUAAUAAAGUUCUUUAUCACAGGAGGCAAUAUAAAGUGACGUUCCUCCGCACUAAGAGGACACGCAUUCAAACCUCAAAAGCGCAUGACAACCUCUGCUUCCCUCUGCGAAGGGCCUAUCUUGUACCUUUACUUUUUGCCCUUGUAAGAGUCAUGGUGAUCAUCACCAAUUCCCUAUUUUUGCCUUUGUCUUGGCUACCGUCACAUGUUUGGGAAAGAUCUAUACUCAUAUAUCAACUUGGAGUUGAGUACUUAUGCUUUAUUGUUGUUGACUUUACCCUUGAGGUAAACCGUUGGGAGGCAAAACUAUAAGCCCCUAUCUUCCUCUGUGUCCAGCUGAAACUUUGACACCAUGAGUACCACGUGAGUUGUAACAAUUGUGGAAAACAAAAGAGAUGAUUGAGUAUGUGGGUUUGCCUUACAAGCUCUUAUUUGAUUCUUUCUGAUGUUGCGAUAAAUUGCAAUUGCUUCAAUGACUAUGGACUAUUGUUGGUGACUUCUCGGUAAGGUUUUUGCUUCAUGCUUUGCUUUGUGAAGGAAUUGUUACUUUCACAUAAGAAUCUUUAUGAUGUAUCGCUGUGUGAUCAUGAUGCCCUCAUGUCCGUAUUAUGUUUUAUCGACACCUUCGACCCUCAACAUGUCGACAUGUUUAGGGAACUUGGUUUUCGCUUGAGGACAAGUGAUGUCUAAGCUUGGGGGAGUUGAUACGUCCAUUUUGCAUCAUGCUUUCAUGUUGAUAUUUAUUGCUUUUUGGGCUGUUAUAUUACUUGUGGUACCAUAUUUAUGCCUUUUCUCUCUUAUUUUGCAAGGUUUAUUUGAAGAGGGAGAAUUCAGGCAGCUGGAAUUCUGGACUGGAAAAGGAGCAAAUCCUAGUCCACUAUUCUGCACAUCUCCAAAUGCCCUGAAAAGUUACGUGGAUUUUUUUGGGAUUAUAUAAAAAAUACUGGGCGAAAGAACUACGGGAGGGGGGCUGCCAGGGCGCCACAAGCCCUGACACCGCCACCCCCUGGUGGCGGAGUGGGGGCUUGUGGGCUCCCUGACGGCCCACUAGCCCCCCUCUUUUGCUAUAUGAAGCGUCCUGGUCCAUAAAAAAUCAAUCGGGAGCUUUUUCGUGGUUUCGCCGCCGCCACGAGGCGGAACUUGAGCAGAUCCAAUCUAGAGCUCCGGCAGGACGAUCCUGCUGGGGAAACUUCCCUCCCGGAGGGGGAAAUCAUCACCAUCGUCAUCACCAACACUCCUCUCGUCGGAGGGGAGGCAUCUUCAUCAACAUCUUCAUCAGCACCAUCUCCUCUCCAAUCCCUAGUUCAUCUCUUGUAACCAAUCUUCGUCUCGCUACUCCGAUUGGUACUUGUAAGGUUGCUAGUAGUGUUGAUUACUCUUUGUAGUUGAUGCUAGUUGGAUUACUUGGUGGAAGAGUUUACGUUCGGAUCCUUGAUGCUAUUCAUUACACCUUUGAUGAUGAUUAUGAUUAUGUUUUGUGAGUAGUUACUUUUGUUCCUGAGGACAUGGGAUAAGUCAUGUUAAUAAUAGUCAUGUGAAUUUGAUAUUCGUUCGGUAUUUUGAUAUGCUGUAUGUUGUCUUUUCCUCUAGUGGUGUUAUGUGAACGUCGACUACAUAACACUUCACCAUAUUUGGGCCUAGAGGAAAGCAUUAGGAAGUAGUAAGUAGAUGAUGGGUUGCUGGAGUGACAGAAGCCUAAACCCCAGUCUAUGCGUUGCUUCGUGAGGGGCUGAUUUGGAUCCACUAGUUUAAUGCUAUGGUUAGACUUUGUCUUAAUUCUUCUUUUGUAGUUGCAGAUGCUUGCGAGAGAGGUUAAUCAUAAGUGGGAUGCUUGUACAAGUAAGGGCAGUACCCAAGCGCCGGUCCACCCACAUAUCAAACUAUCAAAGUAACGAACGCGAAUCAUAUGAACAUGAUGAAACUAGCAUGACAGAAAUUCCCGUGUGUCCUCGGGAGCGUUUUUCCUCCUAUAAGACUUUGUUCAGGCUUGUCCCUUGCUACAAAAGGGAUUGGGCCACUUGCUGCACCGUUGCUACUACUUCUUACUUGAUACUUUUUGCUCGCUACGUUUCACCUCACUACACCAUCAGUUGUUACCUCUACUUUCAGUGCUUGCAGUUAUUACCUUGACGAAAUCCGCUUAUCAGAGCCUUUUACUCCUCGUUGGGUUCGACACUCUUACUUAUCGAAAGGACUAUGAUUGAUCCCCUAUAUUUGUGGGUCAUCAAGUAUCUAGGUGACAUUAGGGUCUUGGUUGAUAUGUAUCUUAAGGUGUUAUUCUAGUACGAACUCUUGAAUAGAUCGAUCAGAAAGAAUAACUUUGUGGUGGUUUCGUACCCGACAAUAAUCUCUUCGUUUGUUCUCUGCUAUUAGUGACUUUGGAGUGACUCUUUGUUGCAUGUUGAGGGCUAGUUAUAUGAUCCAAUUAUGUUAUCAUUGUUGAGAGAACUUCACUAGUGAAAGUAUGAACCCUAGGCCUUGUUUCCACGCAUUGCAAUACCAUUCGUGCUCACUUUUUUUACUAGUUACCUUGCUGUUUUUGUAAUUUCAGAUUACAAAAACCUAUAUCUACCAUCCAUAUUGCACUUGUUUCACCAUCUCUUCGCCGAACUAGUGCACCUAUAAAACUUACCAUUGUAUUGGGUGUGUUGGGGACACAAGAGAGUCUUUGUUGUUUGGUUGCAGGGUUGCUUGAGAGAGACCAUAUUCAUCCUACGGCUCCCGCGGAUUGAUAAACCUUAGGUCACCCACUUGAGGGAAAAUUGCUACUGUUCUACAAACCUCUACACUUGGAGGCCCAACAACGUCUACAAGGAGAAGGUUGCGUAGUAGACAUCAAGCAUUUUUCUGGCGCCGUUGUCGGGGAGGCUAGGUAAGAGGCACUAACAUCCCGUCAACGAAGCAUUUUCGGGGAGGUUAGCGCUUGAAGGUAUAUCUUUAGAUCUUGCAAUCGAAUCUUUUUGUUUCUUGUUCUUUAGCUAGAAAACUACCAAAAAAUGGAAUUGAGGAUGCCUCAUAUGCUCCAUCUUUUUAAUGUCUUUCGUGAGCAUGAUGGGAAGGAAAAUUGUGCUCAAGUGCUGAAAUAAGAAUUACAUAGAAUGCUUGGCAUAGAAUAUGUGAAUGAUGAGCAUGAUUGCAAUGUUGUUAGCACAAAUUCUUUGAAUACCCAUGAUGCUAAUGAUAUGCAAAGCCACAAGCUUGGGGAUGCUAUAUUUGAGGAAGAUGAUCUUUUUAGUUCUUCCACUUUGAAUGAUCAAAAUCAUUUUGAUGAAAGCAUGCCCCCUAUCUAUGAUGAUUAUUGUGAGGAUACUUAUGCUUUGAAGAAGAGGGAUGAUAAAUAUUGUCAUACUUUCGAAAACCCCUUUGCUAAACCUUGCUUUUUCGUUGUGGACACAAUUUGUAGUGCUCAAGUCUUUUACGAUACUCCCACUACUAUUCUUGAGAAUAGAUUUCNNNNNNNNNNNNNNNNNNNNNNNNNNNNNNNNNNNNNNNNNNNNNNNNNNNNNNNNNNNNNNNNNNNNNNNNNNNNNNNNNNNNNNNNNNNNNNNNNNNNGCUAUCUUGCUUAAGGGUUAGGGAUGUGACAACUUUGGAGUUGGAGGGCUUCUUCAUCAUCAUCAUCGUCCCUCCAAUGACUCGUGAGUAGUUCACUUCAGACCUACGGGUCCGUAGUUAGUAGCUAGAUGUCUUCUUCUCUCUCUUGGAUCUUCAAUAGAAAGUUCUCCAUGAUCUUCAUGGAGAUCUAUCCGAUGUAAUCUUCUUUGGCUGUGUGUUUGUCGAGAUCCGAUGAAUUGUGGAUUUGUGAUCAGAUUAUCUAUGAUAUAUAUUUGAGUCUUUGCUGAUUUCUUAUAUGCAUGAUUUGAUAUCCUUGUAAGUCUCUCUGAGUCUUGGGUUUUGUUUGGCCAACUAGAUCUAUGAUUCUUGCAAUGGGAGAAGUGCUUGGUUUUGGGUUCUACCAUGUGGUGACCUUUCCCAGUGACAGUAGGGGCAGCAAGGCACACAUCAAGUAGUUGCCAUCAAAGGUAAAAAGAUGGCGGAUUUAUCAUUGGUUUGAGAUUAUCCCUCUACAUCAUGUCAUCUUGCUUAAGGCGUUACUCUGUUCUUAUGGACUUAAUACACUAGAUGCAUGAUGGAUAGCGGUCGACGUGUGGAGUAAUAGUAGUAGAUGCAGAAAGUAUCGGUCUACUUGUUUCGGACGUGAUGCCAAUAGAAACAAUCAUUGCAUAGAUAUCGUCACGACUUUGCGCGGUUCUAUCAAUUGCUCGACAGUAAUUUGUUCACCCACCGUCUACUUGCUUUCAUGAGANNNNNNNNNNNNNNNNNNNNNNNNNNNNNNNNNNNNNNNNNNNNNNNNNNNNNNNNNNNNNNNNNNNNNNNNNNNNNNNNNNNNNNNNNNNNNNNNNNNNGACUAGGUAUUCGAACCCCAUACAUAUCAAGUAUGACACACGUACGCAUGGCAUACCGAUAUGUAUAGAUUCAUCGAUGGCAUCACAACAUAACCAUAAACAUACAACCUUUAUUCAAGAGGCUCGGAAGAGCCACACACAUAAUAUUACACAUUAAGGUCUCUCGACCCAUAAUAGCAGUCAUACAAAUACAAGCCAGCGGAAGAGUUAUAGACUGUCUGGGUACAGACAAUGCAACUAGAAGGCACAUGGCCUGACUAUACUACAGAGCCGACAUAGGGCCAGAUCGUAGCUGGGACACCAGCUACUCGUCGUCGUCGAUGUCUACGAAGAACCCUCCAUUAGGGUCAUUAGCAACCUCUGCAACAUUUAUUAAGCAAACAUGAGUACGAAGGUACUCAGCAAGACUUUAGGAGAACUAACUACUCAUGCAAGGUAUCAAAAGGUAUUGUGGGGUUUCAUGCGGGAAGCCAGCAUUUGACUCGUGGCUAGACAACUUGCAUUUUGAAAUUAGUUUUGACAACUUGAUUUCUCGCACACGAGUCCACUAACACCACAGCAAUACACUAUCGUGGAAUCAUUCCGUCUCCAUACGGAAAUGCCGUCCACGACACUCACGCUUAUCUUGCCCAUUUUAUGAGUAGCCAUUGAAGUUAUCUAUGAACAACAUAUGUCUCCAAGUAGUCCAUAUCCGCGGACGCGGCUAUUCGAAUAGAUCAUAACCCUGCAGGGGUGUACUUCGUCACACACGCUCUCGCCACUUAUCGCUAUGUGCACGUCAUGCACCUCGGCAACCUUCAAGCGGAAGCCCAGCGAGGGAGUCGGCCACGACCGUUAACCACACCAGUACCUAGUCCAGGUUUAUCGCCUAUCUGAGAGUAACCCGUACGAAAGUCCGGCCGGGGAUUCCGCCACGGCCUCAAACGAUGUGCGCAGGGUUCCCAAGCCCACCAUCCAGGUGCCACUUGGUACACCGUGCCACUGCCUACCGCAUCACGGCCCACCUCUCAGGUCAGCACCAUGCACGGCCUCCAGCAUUACUAUAAACACCAGAAACUACUUGCAACUCCUGGACCGAGUACUACGCGAUUAAUAGGCCGAGCGGGGUCAUAUUUCAGGGCCCAGCAUGUGGUAGUAUCUAGUCUUGGAUUACAUACACGGAACUCAGUUCCUAAGGACGGUUCCAAUGAAACAACCCGCCAUGUACUCCUACACAGCCUUUCACCGGCACCUUUACCAAAUCAAGUUCAACACACAACCUUUGCUCACCGAAAACAUUCCACAUUUCUGUUCAUCUCCCAGAUGACAGACCAUACACAACUCUAAGCAUAUCAUGCAUAGCAGGAUAAGGCACAUCAUAGCUCAAGCAACUACCAGGUAUGCUAGGUUGCAAGGUUCGGCUAUUUACUGUGACAAGGUUAGGUCAUGCAAAGGAAGUGGGUUCAACUAUCGUGGCAAAAGCAGUUGUAGCAUUUGAUCCUAAUGCAAUAAAUAAAUGCAGGAGCAAGAACAUGGGAAUUAUCGGGAUGAUCAAAAGGGUUGCUUGCCUUGUUGCUCAGAGGAGGAACGAUAUCCGUCAGACGGAUAUUCGGUGGAAUCCGGGGGUGCGGAGCCUACCGAAAUGAAUGGCAACAUUCAAUAACAAUCAUAUGCACUCAAAAUGAUGCAUGCGCAUGGCAUGAGAAUGCAGGGUGAUAAGUUAUUAGUUUCAACAUGUAAUAGGUUUAGAGUUGAUUUGAAUCACAUUCGAAUAGCAAUUCAAACGGGGUAUUCUCGGAUACCGGUUUAAUUGAUUCGACCUGAUGCUCAGAUCAACUUGAUGUUAACAUGCAUGAAAUGUCAUGUUAUGGUACUGAUUUGUAAUUAGGGCAGUGUGUGAUCAUUGCAUAUAUAAUGAAAUUUGAAUNNNNNNNNNNNNNNNNNNNNNNNNNNNNNNNNNNNNNNNNNNNNNNNNNNNNNNNNNNNNNNNNNNNNNNNNNNNNNNNNNNNNNNNNNNNNNNNNNNNNUGAGUACCUUCGUACUCAUGUUUGCUUAAUAAAUGUUGCAGAGGUUGCUAAUGACCCUAAUGGAGGGUUCUUCGUAGACAUCGACGACGACGAGUAGCUGGUGUCCCAGCUACGAUCUGGCCCUAAGUCGGCUCUGUAGUAUAGUCACGCCAUGUGCCUUCUAGUUGCAAUGUCUGUACCCAGACAGUCUAUAACUCUUCCGCUGGCUUGUAUUUGUAUGACUGCUAUUAUGGGUCGAGAGACCUUAAUGUGUAAUAUUAUGUGUGUGGCUCUUCCGAGCCUCUUGAAUAAAGGUUGUAUGUUUAUGGUUAUGUUGUGAUGCCAUCGAUGAAUCUAUACAUAUCGGUAUGCCAUGCGUACGUGUGUCAUACUUGAUAUGUAUGGGGUUCGAAUACCUAGUCGUGAACUUUAGUAGCACUCCUUACAAGGAAAUGCCCCUUUGUGAUCCAACGAGCCUUGGUAGUCCGCUACUGCUCCGGACACAUUGGUUGACCGGCAUGUGUCCUUCUUAGCUGUUGUGUCCGUCCUCUUUGGGGAAAUGUCACGCGACGUAAUGGAGUCCUUGUAGCUUGCUACGACUCGUCUACGUUCGCUGAUGACCGACACCUGCUUUGUUGGGUCAUGUAUGCCCGUCCUUGUGCGGAACUGCCACUUUGAUUUAUGACUAGACAUGUCGAUGCGGGUUCUUUGACAUUGGAUUGCUAGCGACACCUAUCGCAUACGUGAGUCAAAAGACGCAAACGGUCCCGGCUAAGGUAAAGCUGCAGCCGUGGAGUUAACCGUGCGUGAGACCACAAAGAGAUGCGAUGUGUUACAGGCUGGAUUCCUAUGGCUUAGGAUCGGGGUCCCGACAGCGUUGGUAUCAGAGCCUGACUGACUGUAGGAUUACUAAGCCAAACUGGUCAAAGUUGAGUCUAGAAUUGCUUUAGUUAUAUAUAAGGGAAUUGUUUGUGGAAGGGAACGUAAGACUCUUGUUCUCUUCUCAAGUUAUUCUAUUCUGGUCAUCCUCGUCUCUUCUGCGGGAAUUAAGGACUAGGUUACUCAUCUUCUCCUAGGCUCGUGUUUCCAAUCGGUAGCUUAUAGGACUACGGGUCGAGAGAUAUUGGGUUUCUUUUAUUCCUAGGAAGCAGGAAGUAAGUUUGGUGACCAGAGAGUUGAACUUGAUAGUUGAGUGGUUACGCUAUUCCAUUUUGGGUUGUCUCAAAUUUGUUUUGAGCAUUUACAGCCGUUAUGCUGCCCAAUUUUGCAUUCAGAGCUCUAAUGCUUUUGCAUUACUCUCUAUUUACAGAUGUCUGGCCGUCCUUCCCGUCAGGUGGUACGUCUGACCAGGUGCAUUGAUGUACCGGGUCAUACGGCCAUGCUGGUCAGGGUGAUGUCGGUGUGCGGUUACCGCUGGUACCCCGAGUACACAGUGGAGGAACAGUACCGGGACUUCAACCAGAGCCAGUACAUCUGCACUGUUAGGGUAUUCCUAGACUACCCUGGAGCGGAGAAGCCAAUCCAUUGGUCCUAUGGGUUGGGGGUCACCGUUGACAUGGGAGUACAAGAUGCUGCCUAUUCAAUGCUGACUAUUAUGAGAGCGAGACAUGCACUGCUGCAGAAUUCAGAGUUCUGCUAUGUUCCGGCCUCUCAGUCUGGUGAAGAGGGAUACCUCAGUGGACUCUAUUUUGAUUCUUCUAUGGAGGAUCCACUUCUGCAGACCACUGUUGAGAUGCUAGAGAACAGAGACAACGAUGCUCGUGCUCUCCGCAUGGAGCUUUAUGCUACUCGUGCCCGUCUGUGGACAGCUUUGACGCAGCUAGCACCGGUAGUCCAGACAGGGUAUGGAGAGAUGGAGAUGCUGAACCCUGUUAGGACCCAUCUUCCGGCUCACGUUGACUGGCCAGCUAUAGGAGGAGUCACACCUCUUCGGAGACCCCUCUUACCACCAGUCAGGGGACCAAGGCCACAUCCGUGUCCUUAUGGAUCCCAGGGGUCUCAGGCUAGAGUGUUUCCUGAUCCGCAGGUUGAGCUUCCAGGUCAUGGAGGUAAUCUCUAUGAGAUGUUCUAUGCGGAUGCCUGAGCUGUGAGCGGAAGGAUAGUAUGGUAGUAGUCGUACGUUCAAAGUCCUGCGUGACUUGUGAAGUAUGGUAGUAAUGUGAAAUGAAUUCCAGAGGCCUAGAUAAAUAAUGUAUAGGAAGCUUGUAAGCCUCUGAUGAGUAGUUCCACCAUUUCAGUAGUUUGCUCUUCGGGUAAGUUUGUACUGAACUAUGUAAGGGUGUGUAUGAACCAUGGUGUAUAUAUAGCAGUUGCUUGUUACCAUGUUGUUCGGAUAUUCAUUUCCGCAUUCCGUGUGUUCAGUACAUUCUUAAUCCAUAGCUAGUAUUGAUAUGAUAUUGGUCUAAGCUAUGAGUUUGUUUGUCAGGAUGGUGUUCACCAGGUUGAACCGUGCCCCUGCUCAUGAGCAAGGUGAGGGUAGUCAAGCGUCGCAGGAAGACCUGCCUCACCCACCUUCUCUGGUAGAAGUGAUGCUUGAGGCAGAAAGAAACAAAAGGGAGACCAACCGACUGCUAGAGCGUAUUGAGCAGAAUACGGNNNNNNNNNNNNNNNNNNNNNNNNNNNNNNNNNNNNNNNNNNNNNNNNNNNNNNNNNNNNNNNNNNNNNNNNNNNNNNNNNNNNNNNNNNNNNNNNNNNNUGCCCCAACGGCUCCCCCACGCGGCGCGCCCCGUGGGCAUCGUCGUACUGCUCCAGCUGUGGAGCCGCCCGCACCGGCCUCCCCCGCAACGGGGGAAUCGCCGAUCCCGGAGGCUUCUCCGCUAGUUGCCCCGGGCGUCUCGGCCCCGUCUCCUGCACCACCGGGCCCCGCUCCUGUCGGCACGACGCCUCCACCACCUGCUGCCCCCGUGCCCAGUACGGGGCCGGCCUCUCCCUCAACUGCCCCACCUGCUGCCCCCGUACACUUCGGAGUGCUUACCCGUGCGCGCGCGGGUGUCCAUCGACCCAGCCAGAGGUACUCCUCCAACGAGUACGUCUGCACUGCCACCACGACGGCUCCUUCGCCGCUCCCUGCGUCCGUCCACUCGGCGCUCCGGGACCCUCACUGGCGCGCCGUCAUGCAAGACGAGUACGACGCGCUACUGAGGAAUCGCACCUGGCAGCUGGGUCGUUCGCGGCUUCCGGCAACGGGCUGGUCUCGACUUGUGACAGCCCAAGUGCAAUCUCCCCUCCCCUUUUGUAUCCUCCUUGUAUGGCAACCUUGGCAUGUUGGUGUGAUGUGGGGUGAGCCUAACUUUGUGUCAUCAUUUCAUGUGCAUCAUGCCUUCUUGCAUUGCAUUCUUUCCCUUUUGUUGUGGUUGUGUUGAUGUGGGUGUCCUUGUUGUGAUGUGCAAGUGUUGUGUUGAUGUCCUUAGUGAUUGUUUAGGUGUGGGGGCAACAAGUGCAUGUCAAAACCCACAUGUUGCUCCAUAAGGAGAAAACCCUUCUCUCUCUAUGUUAAUUUGUGGCAGGUUUAAAAGGCUUUGUUUCUCCAUUUAAAAAAAUGUUCAUCUUUCCCUAAAAAAAAUCCUUUUCAUUUUGUGGAGGCAACCCCUCUGGUUUCUACUUUACUUUCCUUCUUAUCUUAUUUAAAAAAUCAAAGCCCAUUUAAAUUAGAUGAAUAUAAUUUUGGACUUCUAAAAAUGUUCCACUUAUUUUUAUAAACAGUGGCAACANNNNNNNNNNNNNNNNNNNNNNNNNNNNNNNNNNNNNNNNNNNNNNNNNNNNNNNNNNNNNNNNNNNNNNNNNNNNNNNNNNNNNNNNNNNNNNNNNNNNGGGGUUGUCAAUCCCUUAUAGAUUGUUUGCCAAGUGAGAACUGAAAGCAACAAAGUAACAAAUCAAAGUAAAAGCGGAGGUGUAAACGAUGGAUGUGAAUAGACCCGGGGGCCGUAGUGUUUACUAGUGGCUUCUCUCAUGAAAGCAAGUAGACGGUGGGUGAACAAAUUACUGUCGAGCAAUUGAUAGAACCGCGCAAAGUCGUGACGAUAUCUAUGCAAUGAUUGUUUCUAUUGGCAUCACGUCCGAAACAAGUAGACCGAUACUUUCUGCAUCUACUACUAUUACUCCACACGUCGACCGCUAUCCAACAUGCAUCUAGUGUAUUAAGUCCAUAAGAACAGAGUAACGCCUUAAGCAAGAUGACAUGAUGUAGAGGGAUAAUCUCAAACCAAUGAUAAAUCCGCCAUCUUUUUACCUUUGAUGGCAACUACUUGAUGUGUGCCUUGCUGCCCCUACUGUCACUGGGAAAGGUCACCACAUGGUAGAACCCAAAACCANNNNNNNNNNNNNNNNNNNNNNNNNNNNNNNNNNNNNNNNNNNNNNNNNNNNNNNNNNNNNNNNNNNNNNNNNNNNNNNNNNNNNNNNNNNNNNNNNNNNUCACGAGUCAUUGGAGGGACGAUGAUGAUGAUGAAGAAGCCCUCCAACUCCAAAGUUGUCACAUCCCUAACCCUUAAGCAAGAUAGCAUUGUGCUCAUGUCUUCUUUGCAUUUGCAUCUAAGAAGUUUCAACAAAAACAACAAAGUGGCAAAGGAAAAACUCAAAACCCUAGCCACCAUUUCAAAUUAAAGGAAAUCUCAAACUAGUUCAAAAUCAAUGAACCCAAAAUGGCCUCAAGAAAUGUUCAAACUUUCUGAUAAAUCAUGAAAGUAAAUGAGCAUUGGAGAAAACUAUUUUCUUGACACUUUAAGCUUUUUAAAUUAAUGCAAAAGCCACUGGUUUCAAAUUUAAAAUUUGAAAUCAGAAACUAUAAUUUUCCAAAAAUGUUGAAAACCUUGGAAAUGGUUGGGGAUAUUAUAACAAAUAUUUCAGGAGGUCUAAAAUAGUUUUUACUUUUUGUUUUGGAGCUGAAUUAAUUAGCAAAACAAUAAUUAGCAAAACAGAAAAACAAAAACAGAAAAAUAAGGAAAAACCUUACCUGUCGCCUAAGCCUGGCCCGGCCCAUCCCUGGCUCGUCCCCUCCCUCGCACCAGUAGGCAGCAGGAGGUGGUCGCCGCCCCCUCCGGCGCGGCCACGCACCUGCGUGCCUGCCUGGCCGCCGCCUCGCGCUGGCGACGACGGGGAUAAGCUCCCCAGAGCCUCCCCUAUCCAUUCCCCGCCUCGGUUCUCUUCCUCCACCCGGAUCUCUUCCUCCUCCCCGCUGCCGCCAUUGGAGCCGAGCUCGAGCUCGAGCUGCCCGUGCCCCUAGCCUUAGGAUCCCCUCCCAGAGCAUGCCAUUAGCGCCGCCUCGUCGCCCUGGUCAUCUCUACAGAAGCCGAAGCUUCCUCGAGCCCUGCAACGCCCGCAACGCCGUCGUCUUCCACCUCCGGCCGCCGGACCUCUCCCGUCGAUUCGCUUCCUCCGGCGCAUCCCCGAGCCCCUCUUCAGCACCAUCGGAACGGCCGUGAGCUCGUCGUCGUUUCCCCUCUCGCCCCACGCUCUCCCGUGCAUCGUAUCCUAGUUCCCCACCAAGGCCGAGAGCUUCUCGCCGCCGGCCAUGUCGCUGUCGUCGUUGUGAUGACUGAUCCACGCGCCCGAGCUAGGAUUCGAGCUCCUGGAGCCUCCAGGAGCGUGCCGAGCCCUCCAGCUGCCCUCCCCGUGCCCUAGAACCGCCCCUCAUAGAAGGCCGAGCUUCGGCCGCCGCUCCGGCUCAUCGCCGACGCCUCUUCCGGCGACCCUAGCCUCCCCAGAUGGUCCUGCCAGAUCGGCCACUUCGCGAGCAUGCUGUAGCUGCAAACCGCGUGCGUUUUGGUGUUGUGCAGCGCCGUCUAGGUCGCCUCCGGCGAGCCCUCCGCCGCGGGCCUGGUCGCCGGCGACCACCCUCCGGUGGGGGUCGACGUGGCAAGCUAACCCAGCAGCUUAGGGACCUAAUCACUCGCUGACAAGUGGGCCCAAGGCCAAGUCAAACCUCAGUUAGGGCUGGUCAGCGUGGGAUUAGUCCCAGAGAGGCUGUCCAGUGGGGCCCCCCUGUCAGGUUUGACCUGAACAAGUCGGCUGACCUGCUGAUGUGAGCCUGAGGCAAUAAAUAGAAUUUCCAGUAUAAAACUAAUUCAGGAAAUUGCUAAAAUNNNNNNNNNNCGGGAUUAGUCCCAGAGAGGCUGUCCAGUGGGGCCCCCUGUCAGGUUUGACCUGAACAGGUCGGCUGACCUGUUGAUGUCAGCCUGAGGUAAUAAAUAGAAUUUCCAGUAUAAAACUAAUUCAGGAAAUUGCUAAAAUUUGUAAAAAUCAUAGAAAUUAAUCUGUAACUCCAAUGAAAAUAAUUUAUAUAUCAAAAAGUAUCAGAAAAAUUCAAGGAUUCUGAUUAUGCUAUUUUCAACCAUGUUUAAAAAAGUUACAGAACCCUAAAUUGUGGAAUAAGGAAUAAUUCAAUUCUUUUAAUCACUUUAUAAAUGGAAUUUGCAAAAAAAUUCAAAUUUCAUUAUAUAUGCAAUGAUCACACACUGCCCUAAUUACAAAUCAGUACCAUAACAUGACAUUUCAUGCAUGUUAACAUCAAGUUGAUCUGAGCAUCAGGUCGAAUCAAUUAAACCGGUAUCCGAGAAUACCCCGUUUGAAUUGCUAUUCGAAUGUGAUUCAAAUCAACUCUAAACCUAUUACAUGUUGAAACUAAUAACUUAUCACCCUGCAUUCUCAUGCCAUGCGCAUGCAUCAUUUUGAGUGCAUAUGAUUGUUAUUGAAUGUUGCCAUUCAUUUCGGUAGGCUCCGCACCCCCGGAUUCCACCGAAUAUCCGUCUGACGGAUAUCGUUCCUCCUCUGAGCAACAAGGCAAGCAACCCUUUUGAUCAUCCCGAUAAUUCCCAUGUUCUUGCUCCUGCAUUUAUUUAUUGCAUUAGGAUCAAAUGCUACAACUGCUUUUGCCACGAUAGUUGAACCCACUUCCUUUGCAUGACNNNNNNNNNNNNNNNNNNNNNNNNNNNNNNNNNNNNNNNNNNNNNNNNNNNNNNNNNNNNNNNNNNNNNNNNNNNNNNNNNNNNNNNNNNNNNNNNNNNNAGACACAACAGCUAAGAAGGACACAUGCCAGUCAACCAAUGUGUCCGGAGCAGUAGCGGACUACCAAGGCUCGUUGGAUCACAAAGGGGCAUUUCCUUGUAAGGAGUGCUACUAAAGUUCACGACUAGGUAUUCGAACCCCAUACAUAUCAAGUAUGACACACGUACGCAUGGCAUACCGAUAUGUAUAGAUACAUCGAUGGCAUCACAACAUAACCAUAAACAUACAACCUUUAUUCAAGAGGCUCGGAAGAGCCACACACAUAAUAUUACACAUUAAGGUCUCUCGACCCAUAAUAGCAGUCAUACAAAUACAAGCCAGCGGAAGAGUUAUAGACUGUCUGGGUACAGACAGUGCAACUAGAAGGCACAUGGCGUGACUAUACUACAGAGCCGACGUAGGGCCAGAUCGUAGCUGGGACACCAGCUACUCGUCGUCGUCGAUGUCUACGAAGAACCCUCCAUUAGGGUCAUUAGCAACCUCUGCAACAUUUAUUAAGCAAACAUGAGUACGAAGGUACUCAUCAAGACUUUAGGAGAACUAACUACUCAUGCAAGGUAUCAAAAGGUAUUGUGGGGUUUCAUGCGGGAAGCCAGCAUUUGACUCGUGGCUNNNNNNNNNNNNNNNNNNNNNNNNNNNNNNNNNNNNNNNNNNNNNNNNNNNNNNNNNNNNNNNNNNNNNNNNNNNNNNNNNNNNNNNNNNNNNNNNNNNNAAGACAUAGAAACGUAUCAAUACCAUCAAAACAUAUCAAUAUAGACAUGAAAUCUAGUUUCAAAGACCUCGUCACAGCAAAUUUAAUGAUGGAAAUAGAUUUUUAAUUUGGCUUUUCGUUUAAGGGAUAAGACAUUUUGAAUUUUGAGAAAAUGAUGUUUACAUCAUCUACAUUUGUUUUCACUUGCAUGUAUGCAUGGAUGCCAUUCCGCACUUUCCCUCGUCAGGGACUGUUCGCCCAUUAUUACAGUCGAAAACUAAAACAAUGAUAUGUACUCCCUCUGUUCCUAAAUAUAAGUUUUUUAAGAGAUUUCAAANNNNNNNNNNNNNNNNNNNNNNNNNNNNNNNNNNNNNNNNNNNNNNNNNNNNNNNNNNNNNNNNNNNAAUGAUAUGUAAUUACAUACUCUUAAAAAUAAUAAUUAAAUAAAAAGACAAUCCUUGGAAAUUACCAGUCUAGUCUUAUUCUAAGACCUGACGAAACAUUAUUGAGUACCCGUCAUAUACAAGAGGAUUCGCUAGCAAAGGACUAUCAGAAAGGUUCAGGCAAUCUGCUGCCCAGGUCAUACACGAUUAUUCAUCAGGUUGGACACAAGCUAAGCUGCUUUCCUUCUGGAGAGUAAUUUGAAAAACUGUUCAAAGGCAGGGUAGAAUGAUCAUCCUUCGUGAUACACUAAACUGGAAACAAAAAACUCAGCUCGAUGCAUUUACAUGGACAGAAAUCGAAGUAUGUAACGGGUGAAGCUACCAUCAUGCCUCCAGGUCGUUCAGGUUUCUCGGAACUUUGACAAAAAGUUUUGAAACGAAGAGAAACCUUCCAUCGCAUCGUGCGGCAUGUUAAGCGUGAAAGGGGGAAGAACACUCGGACCAGCCUUCAGGUUCUUCGGGCCAGCGGCUGACGGUAGCGCAAGUGCAGGCUGCUGUCUGUUGAGCUUUUCUAUGAUGUACGAGAAAGUUCCAAAAGCCAGGCAGCUCUGAAUCAGAGUUUGCGGUGCACCU